GGCAUGGGUGGUUGGGCCGGCCUCCUCAGGUUUCACUUUUCAUUUAAAGUCCAACAAAGAUAAUAAAAAAUGUGAUAUUUUUAAGAAAAGUAAAUUGCACAAAAACACAUACACAGAGUCUUCCGUGACAAGAAACCACGAACCUAAAGUCUUUUAACUGAUACCUACGACAUGAAGACUAAUGAAUAAAAAAAAACCCGAAGUACCCAGUUUGCCCAAGUCAAUCGUGGCUCACAUGUCAUGCACAGGAGCCAAUUAUGUUGGAUGUGGCUCUCUCUGUGCCCAGAUCGAGCCGGCUCGAGAUGGGAGCUUGCAUUAUCUCUUUCAUCGGAUCAACUUGUCUUCCUCCGCACCGGCGGAUCAAAAUCGCAGCUGGCCGCGAGCACCGGCGACCUCACUGCCACUGCGUCGGAGCAGACGAUUCACCGCUCCUGCUCCUGCCACCAGGCUCGUACAGGGAUAGAUCCUCUGCGGAUUUGGAGGAGCCGGAGGCGAGGACGCGGAGGGCAUUGGGGCGGAACUGCGAGGAGAUUCGGCAUACGAGGCGGCCAGCGAGGCCUCUGCCGUCCGUAUCCGUCGACGGCUGGUCAACGCCGCACCUCCGUCACUCCGCGCUCCGGCGAGAUCUCCAUGGUCGCCGCCCCCCUGGUCGAGGCCCGUCGCCGCCGCAAGUCCGCGCUCGUCGAGGCCCGCCACGGGCACCACUCCGGCGAGAUCUCUUCUACUGGCUACCUCCUCGCCGCGCUCAGCUCCUCCUUUCUUCAACUUCCUUGGUGUUGGCCGGAGGUGGUACUCCAAGAGCGUCAGCCAUCAGACACGAGAGAGAGAGAGAGAGAGAGGGAGAUCUGCCUGUAGCUUCGAUGGUGCAGCAGCGUUGCGCCGGCCGCGGGCUUGAGCGCCGGCCGGCCGGCCGGCUGGCCGCAUGCUUGAACCAAAGAUGAUCCCAGAGAGAAAGACAGUGAGCAGCUGGGAAUGGAUAACACAAGCUGAUGGCUGCACUGGAGCCGGCUCGAGCGGCCGGAAUGAGCUGGAGCCAAAGAACUGGCUCCUGUGUAUGACAUGUGGGCCACAAAGGUUAACUAGCGCUAACCGGACAAUUUCGUUGUUAUUCAUUAGUCUUUAUGUUGUGGGUAUCAAUUAAAAAAACACCGAGUUCAUGGUUUUUUGUUACAAGAGCCGCUACGUAUAGGUUUUUUUGCAAUUUACUCUUUUGAAAAAUAGGCACGCAUAAUCAUUUAUCCAAAAUUGAAUAAUUUAAGAGAAAAUACCACAAGAGGUCCGUAAACUUGGCAAGUGGGAACAGCUAAGCCCAUAAAUUCUAAAUCAUACGAUUUGACAUACUAAACUUGCAAGCAGGAACACUUUUGAAAACUUGCAAUCCAAAUCACGUUUUAGAACAGAAAUGUGCCAUGUGGUGGCUAAAAUGGAUAUUACCAAAGUUUUGCAGUGAAUUUUCUACCAGACUUGCAUCUCUUUAAUUUUCCAAAUAAUCCCUGAAUCUUUUUCAAUCUUUCCGGCUUGUCACAUGUGAGUCCAGGAGUUCUGACCAGAAAUGAAUUGUAAAGAAAAUCUUGGCAAGUUUUUUCCUUGUCGUCUAAUGAGCUUGCUAGUGAGGGAUUUGAAAAACAACAGGAAUUCCAAUAACUCGAAUGGAGAAAUAAAGACGAAAUGAGGCUUGGACCGCAAGAAAAAAAGAGGGAGGCUUGGAAUAUUUCACAAUGUCAGCUGCCACAUGACAUGUUUGAGUUCUAACAUAUGAUUUGGUCUGAAAGUGUUCUCGUCUGUCAAGUUUAGGAUUAAAAUGCAUGAUAUACAAGUUUAUGGACUAAAUUGUUCUCAUCUAUCAAGUUUAUGGAUCUCUGAUGCCAUUUCCUCUUAACUUUUAUAUUUUUAACAUCAAAAGAGUUUUUUUUAGCCUUGGCCAGGUUAUGCCUCGGCUUGAGGUUUCGGUUUCACUGACGGUCUUUACGAAGCCCGAUCGCGAGUAGUGGCUCAGAAAUAAGAUAAGCUGGUCCAUUUACUCAUUUGCGCUCAAGUAUUCGUUCAUGGUCAAGAUUCGAUGAAAUAAUAUAUGACGAUCGCUGUGUUUUUCAUAGAUUGCAAGCGGCAUGUAAACAUUUAGUUGGUCUCAUCCGUAAGAUAUUAGUCGGUCUCACUUGUCAACAUUUUAUCGGUUUCACCUGUCGAGAAGUUAAAUGGACAAACUAUGACGAAAACGCCUUGUGUGUAGACUAAGGACAAACUGAGCAACGGCCAACGUUACAACAAAAUACUCGUAUGGAAUAAACCCAAUUAUCAAAGACCGAUGAACUUGGGUUAUAUGAUAAGGAAUUAAGAAUCCACACCUAAUUGAUGGACCAAAUCUAACCUCACCGACAACCCUGCCAACGGUUAACACAGAUAUCUGUUCCAGUUCCGACUGACAAUUGGGCCCCACCGGAUCACGUGGUCCCACCCGUCCGUCUCCAGCACCUCGCCACAGCUCAGAUCCGCGGCGCACUACCCACCCACUCCAGUGUCUCCCCUCCUCACUCGCCCACCCCGAUGGCCGGCGGCCGCCCGUUCAGGCCAUCGGCGCCGCGCCGCGCCGCGUUCGCUGCUCUACUGACGCUCCUCCUCCUGGCAACCCUUUCAUUCCUCCUCUCCUCCGCGCCCGCCGCCUCCACCCGCUCCUCGCCCUCCCCUCCGUCGUCCCGCCUCGCCGCCAUCCGCCGCCACGCCGCGGACCACGCGGCCGUCCUCGCCGCCUACGCCGCCCACGCGCGGAAGCUCAAGGAGGCGUCCGCCGCGCAGUCGGUCUCCUUCUCCGCCCUCUCCUCCGACCUCUCCGCCCUCUCCUCCCGCCUCGCCUCCCGCCACUCCCUCCCGGAGGACGCGCUCAAGCCCCUCGAGAAGGAGGCGCGCGACCGCAUCAAGGUCGCCCGCCUCCUCGCCGCCGACUCCAAGGAGAGCUUCGACACGCAGUCCAAGAUCCAGAAGCUCUCUGACACCGUCUUCGCCGUCGGCGAGCAGCUCGCGCGCUCCCGCCGCGCCGGCCGCAUGUCCUCCCGCAUCGCCGCUGGCUCCACUCCCAAGUCCCUGCAUUGCCUCGCCAUGCGCCUCCUCGAGGCCCGCCUCGCCAAACCAUCCGCCUUCGCCGACGAUCCUGACCCAUCCCCCGAGUUCGAAGACCCCUCGCUGUACCACUACGCCGUCUUCUCCGACAAUGUUUUAGCCGUCUCUGUCGUAAUUGCCUCCGCGACGCGCGCCGCCGCUGAUCCCUCGCGCCACGUCUUCCAUGUGGUCACUGCGCCCAUGUACCUGCCUGCCUUCCGUGUCUGGUUCGCGCGACGCCCGCCUCCACUUGGCGUGCACGUCCAGCUUCUCGCCUACUCUGACUUCCCGUUCCUUAAUGCGUCCUUCUCCCCGGUCCUCAGGCAGAUCGAGACCGGCCAGAGGGACGUGGCAUUGGUUGAUUACCUGAGAUUUUACCUCCCGGAUAUGUUCCCCGCCCUGACGAGGGUAGUGCUCUUGGAAGAUGAUGUGGUCGUCCAAAAGGACUUAGCAGCGCUAUGGCAUGUAGACUUGGAUGGGAAGGUGAAUGGUGCUGUGGAGAUGUGCUUCGGGGGGUUCAGGAGGUACAGGAAGUAUCUCAACUUCUCGCAGGCCAUUGUGCGAGAGCGGUUUAAUCCCAGCGCGUGUGCAUGGGAGUAUGGGGUCAAUGUAUUUGAUCUUGAGGCAUGGCGACGGGAUGGUUGCACGGAGCUGUUCCAUCAAUACAUGGAGCUGGUGAGUUCCGUUGAUCUUCUGUUACAAUUUUCAGGAAAUAGUUUUGUGGUCCAUUGUUUUGAUGUGUGGUUCCGCCAGUUAUUCAUGCUUGGUGUCUGAUAUAGUUAUAUUGUUGUGUCUUGGUUAGUGCAUAUUUUAAUUUUGCAGUUUCAGUAGCUUGGGUGCAAGUCCAGCUGUGCAAGUAUACUUAAGUUUCUUUGUCACUGGCAUUAUUCUAAUCAUGUGAUUUAGGAACCUUCAUUUUGCCUUUACUCAUUGCUUCGAAACUCUCUCAUACUUGAAACGUAAAACAAAAAUGUUGCCCAGAAAAUUUCCUAACUGAAACUUGGUUGUCAUGCAAUUGAUUAUGUUUUGACUGAUCCCUAAGCAUUUAUGUUUAAUGGCCAACUCAGCAAUCACUAUGUUAAUGGAACCUUUAUCUGCAAUUUAUGUUUGCAUGCUAUUCUGUCAAACAAUAUAUUCUGCAGUGCCCUGUCCUAUGUAAUAUCUGUUAUCAAUUUUGCGUCAUGAUAUGCAAUUUUGUGAUAUAUGUGUGAGUAUAUGAACCAAUAUUCUUUUGGCAGAAUGAGGAUGGGGCACUCUGGGAUCCAACAUCCGUUCUACCUGCUGGCCUGAUGGCAUUCUAUGGCAAUACAAAGCCACUUGACAAGUCAUGGCAUGUGAUGGGUCUUGGAUAUAAUCCAAGCAUCAGCCCUGAGGUGAUCCGUGGUGCUGCAGUGAUACAUUUUAAUGGGAAUAUGAAGCCGUGGCUUGAUGUCGCUUUCAAUCAGUACAAGGCUCUGUGGACCAAGCAUGUUGACACCGAAAUGGAAUUUCUUACGCUAUGCAACUUUGGUCUCUGAAGUAAUUAAGAAAUGCUCCAAGAAUAAGGCAGCCACCAUAUUGUUCUUUUUAUGGCGAAAUAGCCUAUACUAGUAUUAUCUCUGUUAUCUGUAGUGAAGUUUCAUACCUUUGUGGUGGUCAACAACGUUCUUGUAGAUUUUUAGCCUGUUUGCUGAUAGUAUUUAUUUUGUUAGCUAAGAUGUACUGGAUCAUUGUGGCAUAGUUGAAGGAAAUUAUAGAUGAACAUUUGUGUACUAUCUGUAGCAAACAUAUCUCCAACUGUAUUUAUUAAUUGGAAGGAAAAGUUGUAUCCAGGUUGCCAUUUUAUUCUUUUAUAUUUGCCAUUUUGGUUCACUAAUAGUUACUGACAAUAUCAUUGAUUGUUUUAAGUAUGAUAUUGCCAUGUUGGUUAGCAGAACUGCAUAGAUGGGCAAGAACUUCAUUUGCAGAUUGUUUUAAAGUACUGCAUGGGAACAAAGCUUCUACCUGGCUUUUUUCACCUACUAUCUAGAACCCCAGGUUUGUUAACUAGUUCCUCCAUACAGGAUAAUGAAUGUAUAUUUUGUUUCGAUUUAAUUUAGGCCUUUAGUGUGGAUGCUUGCUUUUCUUCCAGGCAUUUGGUUAUCUUCUACUGGAACAAUUAAAUAGUUUGGUGUUUAUUACCCAGUGUAUAAUAUGUAUCCAAUACCACAUAUAGGUAAUAUCCACAUAGUUUGUUGAAUUGCAAUCAAAUUUGCGUCGUUGACCUCUUAGAAAAUUUGAAGGUAUAAUGUAGAUAACAUUGUCAUGCUUGCUCAUGCUUGGUAUAGCAUGCUUUUGCAGUUAUCUAUCUUGACCUAAGCAAGUUUCUGGUUCUACUAGAUACCUGUUAGUAGAUUGAAUUUUAUUUACUGCAAGUCUGAUAUAUUUUCGUCCCUUCUCAUCCUGUUUUAAGAUCUGGCAAUCGCUGAUUCCUCCCAUAUUUCUCUCCCUUUAUAUGCGACAGUUUGAUAGGUCCUGAGGGUAUGGAUUUCAUUAUUCCAAGAAUGUCCUGAACUUGAGAAUCUCGGUGUUCAGGGUAAAUAUGAGUUAUCAACUUAUCACACCAAGUGAAACAUGGAUAACUUAACAACAUUUACAGAUUCAGUGCGAAGAAUUGUCGAUAGUUGUUCCUGCUCUCUUGAUGCCUUGCUGGGACUAUCUUUUGAGGCAGUUUCAUAUAUAAAUUCUUCUCUGAUAUUCAUCUGGCAUUAUAUCCUGUUGUAUUGGCUGUGCUUAUAUCAUUGCUCUUACUAUGGUUGUAAUUAACUUGUAUUUUUGGUUGGAGUUAUCAGCAUUUUUGCACCAAUUCAGGUGCAUGCUCAACUACUUGUCUACUGGCUGCUGCAUAAACUCAACUCAAUGCUUUUGCUACUGGUUUUGACAAUACCAUCCAUUCGCACAAUAAGAAUUGCUGGACACUUCAUACAACAGGUUCUGGUAUUUUAUCGUAUUGAUAGUACUAUUAGUUGGAUGGUACUUGGCGUAAUAUUAUUUUAGCUUAGUUAUGCCUAGCUGCCAUAAACUAUUUAAGUUGCUAGUUUCUUCUCUCCCACCUAGAUUUUCAUUUGUCCUUCGCUUUUUACAUUGAGGAGACUGGUAAGUUCCAAAAACUCUCUUUCGUACACACUUUUAUUUUCUCUGAUGAAGCUAAACAUCCAACCUUUUAUGAUGGUUCGAGAGGUAGGUAAGUAGGUAAGUGGAUGGCCUGUUUUCUUGCCAAUUAUACAUAACUCUGUGUUCCCAGCAACUUACUGAGGUCCGUUUUUCAGUGACUUUGCAAUGUGGAGAAUACGGCGUGCCAUCCUCUGUUUUUGAGUAACUUUGCAUUGGUUUUCAAAGUCGUGGAACAAUCUGUACUGUACCCUUGUAUGUAGAAUGGGUACCCUUGUGUGUGGAAUGCGCACCACUUGUAUGUAUUGGAUUGUUGCAGGAAGUAAUUCUUUCUUUUCGAGCAUUUACACUGAUACCGUUACUUGCAGGUUUUCUAACCAGUUCUGCUGCCCUUUCCAGGAAACUGCUAUUUCCACCGCUCUCGGCCUUAAGCCCGAAGGUAUGGCCUUCCUGACUUGACACAAUACCGGUUAUAGGAAUUCUGUUACUCCUUCUAGUUCAUAUUACUUGUCGUAGUUUUGUUUAGAUACGCAUGUACCUACACAAUAAAAUGCGAUAAGUAUCUAGACAAAGCCGCGACUGUCGUGGAGCACAUACCCACGUCAGCGACAAGUAAUAUGGAUCGGAGUGAGAUUUGUGAUAUGAACUGUUCUUAGUAAGGCCCAGGUCGCCAGUGUUGAGAAACUAAUGCCUUUUUUCUUUUCUUUUCUUUUUUUGCGGACAGAAACUAAUGGCUUUCACUGUAAAAGUCACGUCAUAAUUUGAAAUUGUUGACAGAAACAGGCUGUUGUCAAAGCAAGGCGGCCCAACUAUCUUCAUGAAGAGUUGAAGACCGACCUGUGGGCCAGGCCAAUGGUAGAAGUGAAAACUACUUUAUCUCUGCCUGAAGAAAGAAACGGAUUUGCUCGACGAAUCAGCAAGAUGCUGGAGUAUAUGGUCCGGCCGGUCUUCUGACUAGGGAACUACUGUCAAAACGGAUGUCCCUAUCGCACGCUGGCCGUGGUUGAUACUUUGCCGGCCUCCGAUCCGACCGCGACGACGUCCCGUGAUAGCAACAGCGAUGAAUCCAUUUCAGCUUGUCACGGGCAUGCGUGCGUUUGUAAGAUUUGGCGCAACUAGCCCGCGAUCUUUCCCUUCUUUUUCUGUGAGGAAGGGAUUUGCCGCUGAUUAUAUUAAGAAAUCGGGUUUGUACGGAUUAAAAGCAAUCCCCGGUCGUUUACUAGGUGUUACCUCCGGGACGUUAAUUGAGAUUGCUUUUCUACCGUAUGGCAUGGUGCUGCUUAAUUAUCAGAAUCAUUCGUGGUUCUUUUCCCUGAAGUGAUUAAACCAUUUCUUCUUCUUUUUCGAGAAAGAAACCUUGGUCUCUGCAUUAAUCGAUGCACAUAGGUUAUUAAAUCACUCACUUAUAUUAGUUUUUUGUGUUUUUCUAAUCAAUCAUGAUCGUUUCACACUCCAUGCGGCAAAGAGAUGAACGCGCGUGAGGCUCUAGUUCAGGAUGAGCCAGUGGCGGAGCCAGCCUAGUUCAACAGCCUGGGCAAAACCUUUAUAAAUUAGCAUUUGGCUAAUAUCUAAUAAGCCUUCACAUAACUACACUAAUUAGCAGUAAAAAAAUUGCCGAGCCCGGGCAGCUGCCCGGGGUGGCUGGGCGGUGGCUCCGCCGGUGGGAUGAGCAAGCGCCCUCCGGCCAUGCCAAUCGAGUCUGCAAUGCCACCGACUAUAAGAAAAACUCACAGACACCGGCUACCUUGCCCCUUACCUAUCGCGGUCCUUUAUCUUCCCCUACUACUGCCAUGGCGUACUUACGAGAUUCGUUCCAGUGCAGCAACUCCAUCUUUCACUUCGACGAGAAGUGUGAGGCUGGCGAAAGUCUGUUUCCUCCUAACUCGAUGACUCGGUGAGAUUUUGGCCUCCCGAGUCAGAGAACGAUGUCCGCUACGAGGCCAAUGAGGCAGAGGACGGUGACGAGAUGGAGGACGACGAAGAAGAAUCCUCGUCAUUUUGCAGCAGGCUCGUUUCCCCAACCAUCAGUGGAGCGGAUUUUGUGCCCGUCAGUAAAAUGGAUUUUUUCUAGGUAGUGAGUAUGCUCAUCGCUUGCAUGGUGGCGUUGUGAGGAACGACAUGGGUGCGAGAGGGGGGAGCUUUGGUAUAUCGAAUCAGAGCUGCUUCGUUCCACCUUUCCAUCUUGCGACCUAAGUCACAUGGAAAUGACCAGAGGUGGUGGAGAGAAAGCUUUGUCCAAAAUUGUUGAUUCUGAAUAGAUCUGACUGUACUCAAUGAUUUUUGUGAGCUCCACCAUGUCACCUUGGCAGUUAGAGCCAGCACCAUCUUCUUUUGGUCCACAUGCGUUGAAGAUUUUGUAAUUCAUAUAUUUGGAUCUAUUGCAUGGAAACAAAACUCGUAUUGGAUGGGAAUAUUGCAAACAAUUGUCAAACAGAAGUUAAGGUUUGAGAACAUAUAUUGUCAUGUUUGGUAUUGGCAAUAUUUAUGCCCAGGCAGUUUAUGUCAAAGGGAUCAACUUUGGUUACACUUGAGACAGGAAUUUAGACAAGUUUAGGCCCUAGGGAUCGAUGUAAUAUCCUACUCCUAUGUUUGGUGGUGUUAUUGAUCCUGCCUCAAAGUUCUCAAGCGAUCAACACAACAGAACUAAUCUUUCUAGCUGGUCGCUUUGAUCUGUCUGUGUAAGGGUUACUUGUUGUAUCCUGUUCUCUACGGGUUUUUCCCCCUUGUUCCCGCUUAUAUAGUACGACCGGUUUAGGGUUACAUGUCUCCACUUGGUUAUAAGGAAAGAUUUCCCUAUGCGAAAAGAUGAGUGUGUACCUAAAAUAUCAGAGAGCUUACUUGGUAGCUGCUCCAAGCUAGCUAAUACGGGACCCCCCGUGUGGAGGUCGGAUACCUUCCCGAAUGUUCCCCUAUCCUCUGUUUGUUUGGGGCUACUUAGCCAUGCCCAGAGUCCAAUGACAUCGUCACAUAUGUAAUCAAUAUAUUGAAAACAAAUUAUCAUACUUUAAAAGGAUAAUUCUAUUGUGUUUGAAACAAAUUUGGUCAUAUAAAAAACAAUUUUGUUUUUGGAGGACCAAAUGCUGCCCAUCGGAAUUCUCUAUUGGAUAUAAAAUUAAAUGUUCUUAUGUCGGGGGACAUGGACCAUGACAUUGGACACAACUGUUACAUCAAAACAAAUAGUUGCACCUGAAGAAAAUUUUAGCAGCAUUGCAAAUAAUAUUCAAUCAUGUAGAAAGAAAAGGUUAAUCGAUUGCGUCUACCACAUAUCCAACUGACGUGGAGUAGGCGGAUCGGGUAUCGGGAUGCAUGGGUUAAAUCUAGUCUCCGCUUUCUCUUUGCGCGCAACCGAGGCCAUGGGUCAGGAUUGUAAUAUACUAACUCAUUGUCACAAAAAAUGGCGUCCAGCCAUUUUGCGUUUUAACUCUGACCAACAAUUACACGAAAGAUAUGUACGAGGACAUGCUACAAAACAAUUAUAUCAUUGCACUCAUGCUCAAAGAAAAAAAAUCUGAUGACAUAAAAACAUAAUAUAGAAUCUAAAUAUUAACUGCUACUAACUGAUGGUUAAAAUUGAACUUCAACUUGAAGUCUUGAAGAAUGCGCGAGUGUCAACAACAACAAAAAUUCAUAAAAAGAGAUAGUACAUGCUAAUUUUCCAUUUCUGUACUUACCAAAUUGUAGUUCAUGCACCAUUUAACUGCCGGCAAAUAUUGUAUCUCCAGCAAAAGUCCAAUAGCCAAUGCAGAUUGCCUGCCGGCAAAACUUUUUGCCGUCAGCAAUAAAGCGGCCAGCCUCAACUGCCGGCAAAAAACUCUUCUUGGCAGGUUAGCUGCCGGCUUAAGUGACUUUUGCUGGUAGUUUGACUGUCUUGACGUCUGGGACGUCGUGUAGUGUGAGCAAGCAAACGAUACUCUUACUUAGUUGCCACUCUUUACGUUUCAUAAUUCUUAUCGUUGUUUUAGGUCACCACGAGAAGAAAAAAAAGAGAGAGGCAUGACAGGUUUUCGGUCGUGUGUGCGUUUACCAAUUUAUUGAUCAAUUCUUUUUGCGUUCAUGUGAUUAAUCUUUGACAAACCCAACGUAGAGGAAGUAGUAAUUAACUUAUUCUAACUAAAUCUGCUAUGUCACUGUCUCCUGGUACGGUAGGCCUAAUCUACACCCCCCGUCACUAAACAUCAAAACGGCGUGGACCACACCCAAAUCUAAUAAAAAAUGAUUAGAGUCUUCCAAUCCAAUUACUCCACAUCAAUUAGGAAUAUUAAUAAGCACGACACACUACCGGUGGGAACAACAGUCUACGUACUAGCAGUCUAGCAGUAGACCAAAAGGGCAAAAGCAGUCAGUCUACGUACACAUGCAUGACUGUCGGAUGGCCAGCAGCUUUGAGAAAUGAUUCUUUUCUUCAUCAAAAGAAAAAAAUGAUCCGUUUCAGACACAACCAAAAACGCACUAAAAUCCAUGGCACUUUUCUCGAUCAUGAAGAAAAAAUUGCCAAGUAACAAUUAGAAUUAGAGCGUCCAUUUCGAUCGACGACGUCAUCUAACGGCUCGAGAUGGAAUCACCGGUGCAUCAGACGCUAAUCAUAGCCGUGCACUACUCCAUGGCUUUGGAUCGGGGGUGCAGAAGGAGCGCAGGCGGCAGAGCUGCAGAGAGGAUGAAAGUCGAAGCGCAAAACAGGUCUUUCUGGAAAAGCAGCCGCGGCGCGGCAGUAGAGGCAAAGGAAAAGAAAUGCAGUAGUAUCGCGCGCGUGCACUUGGUCCGGAAAGGAGCUAGAGUGGGAGUAAAUAGUGAUACUACGGCACGAUUUAAAGCUGCUGUUCAUAUAUAUACGCUGAUGAUCUGGCUCUGCUCUCGCAACGAAAGUGAUAAAAGCAAAGGAAAAGCUGCUGCACAUCAUCCUCUUAGCAGUGUGCGUCUGUACAAUCGUAUACGUACGUUUAGCUUGUUUGCGUUUUGCAAAGCCCAGCGGAAGAGAGAGAUGAGAUUCCCCUCCCGUUGGCUGUCUGUCUCUGUCGCUAGGAGCGAGAGCAAAUGAUGCAGGGAGGAGGAAAAGGACGCGACGCAAGUAACGCUCUGUGUGUGUGUGUUUGCGUGGGUGUGUGUGCGCCUGGGUCUUUGCUUUACACUCAUGAUCCCCAUGAAAGAAUUCCUGUAAUUUUGUUGUCGAUCGCCUCGGUAGAAACGCACACAUGAGCCUGCCAGUUCCUGCCUGCCUAUCUUUUGAAAAGAGGAGAAUGCGCGCGCCAGUCCUGACAAAAGCGGCCUACCUAUAGCCAGGAGGUCAAAAUCAGAGCCCGGCCGGCGAGAGCGAGAGAUCACAAAAGCUAGCUCCUCGUCGCUAGCAGCUGCAUGCCCCUCCAUCAUGCAUGCGAGCCCAUUGCAGCAUGUACAUCGAUCUAUCAGCUAGCUAGGGCAACAUUUGCAAGGAGCAAUGUAGCCAGGUCAUGCUCAACAGCUCAAAGUCUAUUUAUUUCUUAUUAGGAGGGGGAAAAAAAGGUCGAUCUGGAUUCUGGUCAAGCAGUACGUACGUAGACAGGCGAGGAAAGAAUACUACAUGUGGUGAAGUGCAGGCGCAGCAGCAGCUGCCAUUAGCUAUUUUGCUUAGGUAGCUAGCUAGCUAGGCCACUCAAUGCAGCCAAUCAGCUCAACAUGUGAGGGGCUCCAAUUUGGGUCAGAGAACAACCGACAGCUCCAGCACGUUAUUGGCCUCAUCCUGCAGUGCAGCUAGCAUCUGCGCACCCCCUGCCUGCGCAGGCCACAUUGCAGGUAAUUAUGUGCCCAUGCAUGCAUGCAUCACACCCACACCCAUCCAUCCAUCCAAUAUGGAGCAUGUCGUCUCCAGUUAAACCCAUCAUUAUGACCCGCUUGGGCUGCCAAUUCUCUUCAUCAAUGACAACACAUGCUGACAUGCCGGCCGUGUGUCAGUCAGUAAUUAAGCUCACUUAAUUGACCACGAUAAUUAGGCAAUUAAUCCUCUAGCUAUAGUGCCUGUACAGUGGAACGCGUACGCACUCAUGUGAGCGUGUGGGGUGUCCGCCUGGCCGGUGUCGAAAAAUAAUGCAGUCCCACCCAUGCAUGCACGCUUUCCUUUCUGUGUUAAUAAGCCCACCACACGGUCAAAGCACAACUUGCACAGAUCUCACGAGACCGGUCCGUGCGUACGCGCGUAGUGUGGUGGCACGUAUAAACGGAGCGAUCGAGCACAACAGCAGGGGCUCGUGCUCCUACUAUAACGUGUGCGUGCUACGGUACGUGUAGGGAUUUGGAUUCCAGCCGGGCCCGGGGUGCAUGGGCAUGGGCCGGGCGACAAUAAGGGCAACCCUGGCGCGGGGCCGCCAGGACCACGUACGUACCCCUGCUUUAUGUGGGUAAGUCGCAGCCGCGCAGGGCAGCAGCAGCCAGCGCGUGGGCCUGUCCCUCGAUCGCUCCCGUGCGCGCGCACGGGACUUGCCUUGCCCCUGCCCUGCGGCGAUGUCAUCAUCGAGCUAUCCCUGUCCGCGGGCCGCCGGCGUCGGAUCUCUGAUCGAUGGGGGUGUGGUGGCGAUCUCUUUGGCUGUGAUUUUUGCAAUUUAUAUACUCCCUCCGUUCUUUAUUAAAUGUCUCAAAUUUGUCCAAAUAUGAAUAAAUCUAUACUUAAAAGACGGCUAGACACAUGUAAUAGAAAGUCACUUAAUACGUGACGGAGGGGGUGUCGUCCGGUACUGUUGGGUUUGGGUUUUGGGUGCUACAGUUUCCCCUAUGCUUUUCUUCCGUGCCAUGGCAUCUUGCUGGAUGUUAUACAGUGCAGCCCGGCCGGGCUGCCGGGCAUAUGCAUUCAAACUAUAGGAACUUUGCUACUAGCUAGGUGCCGCGGUGCCGGCCAGUACAAUUUAAACGGAAGGCGAAGAGAACAAGAUUCAAUUGGAAGUUGGUUCACAUGGAUUCCAUAUAUAAUACAGUACGUACCACUUGACAUUCAAAGGGGAUGGUCUCGUAAUUAAAGAGAACACUAGAAAGCCCUAGCGAAAAGGAGGACGAUUAAUGUCAAGGGUUUACGUACGUAUAUACGUGCACAAACACACCUACUUGGACAGUUGGACUAGCUAAGACUAGAAAUUAAUUAAGUGGCAGCCCCAUGCUUCGCGAAUGUCGUCUCAAGCUGCUUCUCCUCGAAACCCUAAUUAUUAACAAGUGCCGGUGGAACGUAAACAACAAUCUCGAUCUCUGGAUAUAUAGAUACUCCAUCGGUGAAGGUUAUUCCUUUCUCUUAAUUCCUCGCUCGCUUCUAAAGAUGACGAUGCCAACGGGAUGCAAUUCAAUCGUGUCAAUAUCCUUGCAAGAAGAAUCUGGUGUUUGGGAGAAACUAAUUGCCGUAACAAGCUCGCGCGAACAGAUCAAUGAAACCAAGAAGAAGAAAUCAAAAGCAGAAAGAAAAAAAAUGCGCCAAACCAGUCGGAGUCGGACCAGCGGCCGCGAAGGCGAAGCCCUACGAGUCGUCGCUGGCGCUCAUGCUCUCGUUCCUCUCGCCGCCGCCGUGCUGCUGAUGCUGGUGGUGAUGCUGGCUGCCCCCUUCAGCUGCUCCAUUGUGCUGCCCAGCCACGGUGACCUCCGACGCCGCCGCCGCAUGCUGUCCACGGUACGCGUUGAGCGCGGCGAGGAUCCCCAUGUGCCCCUCCCCAGCUGAUCCACCACCGCCGGCCUGGGCCUGGCCGAGGCCCAGAUGCUGAGCGGCUUGCCCGCCGGGCAGCAGAGCCAUGGGCGCCGGGAGGUUCAUGAAAUGCAGCCCGCUAGGCACGCCGCGGUACACGGCCGCUGCGCCGCCAACGCCGCCGCCGCUCCCAGGUUGCGGGAACGUCGUCCAGAUCGAUUCGCCGCCGGCUUGCGUGGCUCCGGGCUGCGCGUUGCUUGUCGUCGGCACCAUCCAUACCGUGCCGCCGCCCGGCAUUUGGCUCUGUGUGACCGUGUACCCGGCCAUCUGCUGCUGGUAUUGCAUCUGCUGCUGCUGCUGCAGUUCUUGCUCCCAGCGCCGUUUCCUGGACAGGUCGUUGUUGGCGGCGGCGGACGACGAGGACGGCGAGACGUCCAGCCCCGCGGAGGUCCCGGAGUGGAAGCUCAGGAGCAGCGGGGAGGAAGACGAGGACGUGACGGUCGAGGCUGGGCCGCCGUCGAACCCGAGGCCCAUGAAGCGGUCCCACGCCUCGGCCCGUGCGCCGCCGCCGAAGCGAGAGCCCGAGCCCAGCAGGCCCGUCUGCAGGCCGGCGGCGCGGAGGUGGGCCGGGAUGGAGGAGAGCAUGGAGCCCGAGGAGCGGAGGGAGAUGUUGAGGGAGGUGAAGUUGGCCGGGAUGGUGCCCGUGCCCGUGGCGGCGAUCACGGCCGGCUCCGCCUGCUGCAGCAGCCACUCGAUGGUCUCGCCGUCCGUCUUGUGGCCCAGCUCCCGCGUCAGCUGGAACACGCGCGCCGCGCAGAUGGCCGGCAUCCGGAUCCGCCGCCCGCGCCCGUCCACCUUGGUGUGCCGGUCCUUGCUCGUCGUCCGCUUCGGCGCCGCCGACGCCUUCCUCGCGACCUGCUGCAGCUGUCCGUUCGUGCCCCCGGCUCCCAGCGCGGCAGCAGCCGGAGAGGUGGAGCACGGCUGCAGGUACGACUGAUCCUCCUUCUUCUCGAGGAGCUGCAGGGGGAGGCGGCGGCCUCCGCCGGCGGCGUCUCCGGUGACGUCCAUGGUCUCUCGAUUAGGCCAUAGACCUACGUACAGCACGGCACGGCACAAACAAGAUCGAUCGAUGCUUUGCUGUCCUUUUUUUUUCUGGCCAGGGGAAUUGGAGCGGUGGGUUGGUGACGUUCGUACGUACCAAGCUGUUGUUGUGGGGUUGCUCAGCGGGCUGGUUAGGUGAUGUGGGGACGGCGGUGAAGGCGGCGGCGGCGGAGCUGGAUUGAGAAAGAGAUCAAGGACAGAAAGAGAGAGCUACUAGCUGUUAGGAAAACACACUAUAGGCCGGUUGGAAGGAUUAUUUUAGUAUGAGGACAGAGAGAGUGAUCUAGAUGAUCUUGUGGAGAACUGGAGAUCGAUCAAACACUAUUUUAUGGUGUUUUGGAAUGGUUUACCUCGUGUAUGAGUUGCAGGGAGGACCGGAGGACGAUGGCUGGGGAGGGGAAGGAGCAUAUGAUAGGGGAGAGGAGAGAGAGGGAGAACGUCAAGGCAGGAGAUGAUGGUGUACUUUGUCGGGAUUGGAGGAGAGAGAUCACGACGCACUAAAGGUAUGUUUGACAGAGAGAGGCUGAUAAGGAUAAGAAGGACUACGGGGACGAGAUCAUUAGGGGUUCACUUAAUUAAAGUCCUGAUUUUUUAUAAAAUAGAAACUUUAUUGUUCCUUCCUCUGCAUCGAAGAAACAUAUAGCAUAAAGUUUUACUCCCUCUUCAUCAAAAAUACACAUAGCAUAAAGUUUUACUCCCUCUUCAUCAAAGAUACACAUAGCAUAAAGUUUUACUACAUUAUCCCGCAACAAUCAUAAAACAGUGACCACGUCUAAAGGUGUAACAUGCAUAUCUCGAAUCGACCUAUAAACUACACAACCUAGAGUUAGCAUGCCAUCUAAACCGGGACAGUAACUCGAGCAUGCAAACUCUAUGUAUUUGGGAGCUGUUUGGUUUGUGCCCCCAACCAGCCUUGCCAAAUAUUUGGCAGCCUAUGGUUAUUUGGUUGUUGUUUGCUUCAUUGCCAAAAUUUUGGUUGCCAAUAUGAUUCAUCUCACCUCUCUCACAUAUUCUUGUCAAAUAGUUGGCAAAAUGAGGACCAAGGAAUCCUUAAUCAAAAAAUUGGCAAGCCAAAUCUUGCCAACAUUUGAUAGGGUUGUAUUUGGCACAAAAGAAAGUUCGAUCUAGUAGAAAAAAUCUGAAAAAUGAUCCAAUCUAAUCCAGCAACUCGACACGAUUAAUGCAACAAAGAUUCAACAAUGCAAAUACUAAUGUGAAAAUUGCAAGGCUCAGAUUGUUUUUUGGGACGAAGGUAACUAAUCUCUACUUUUUUUUAUUGGCUUUUUCUGGACUAUAGGUAAAACAGAUCUAAACUAGGGAUAAAUUGGAAAAAUCUCACCGAGCAACCUUAAACUCUGAUACCACGUGAUAUGGGUCAGGGUGGCCCGAUUUUUCGAUGAGAUUGAUAACUCUCGAUUUGGUUAGGAGGUGACGUUGAUGAUCCGACUACGGCCUAGAAGGCAGCGCCUUAGCAAUCGAUACACCAACUCCAGAGAGGUUAUUGAUCACGCGGGGGCACGAUCAACCUGACCACGAAGGUCUUUGUUCCUGCAAGCAAUCGAAGAACAAGCAAGAACAAGAUAAAUAGCGGAUGCAAUCUGAAGUUGCGAGUAUACUAUAUCAAACCAAUGUCUCAACGAGACGAUAAAUUGGGGUUCCGAAAGCGGUAAAACAGGCGGUCUAACCGACACAUGCGAUUACACGAAGUAGUAGCGAUGGCUAACUUUUAACUAAACAAAACCCAAUGCUCCUUAGGGGGGCUCGGGGGAUAUAUAAAGGAGGAGGGAGAGAGAUUUUCGUCCACCUUGAGUAAGGAGGCCGAAAUCCAACUCUUCACUAACUUUCCUAACAACCUACAACUCUUUAGGAAACCGAAAAACAGAUCCGUCAGAUUGUUUUGUCCGCCACGGUCAGCACGCAUCGAAUCUCCUUGUGGGGCCGGAUUCGUUGGAAAGGUCUUGUAAUUACCUUUCCAACAAGUACUUGUUUGCUUCAUUUGAACUUCGGAUGCGGCCUAGGUCAUUAAAACAAAUUCGGGUCUCCUGACAGUUCGGACCCGAAUCGGAUUCAACUUUAAUUUGUGAUAUCUUUCUCUAACAAUCUCCAAAUCAUGUGCUGUUUGAUUUGUUGGAAAGUACACUUGAAAUCCUUCCCUCUCAGCUGUAUGGAUGCUUGAUUCUUGUUGGCCCUCCCGUUCACUUCCAUCGUAUCUCAUCUUGACCUUGGACUUGAAAAGCUCGACAAGAUGCCUACGUAAUAAAACGAGACAAGAUAGUAGUAGCUCCGCCUCUUCAUAAAAUAUGACAAUGAAAACAAUUACUAUUUAAAUUCACCUGAUUAUAAAUCUUGUCAAAUAUUAUAGAAUUGAGGGUCCCAAAGGUUGUAUCCAUGGUUAGCAUGUCCAUAUCAGUAGGGUUGUAUUUGGCACGAACCAAACAGCCCCUUGACUCCCAAAUAUCUAUAUACAUCGAAAUCCGGACAGACCGGAGUUGACAAAACUUGAUACAACAAAGGAUAAACAUUUGUAAUAUAUGGCUCGCAUACACAUGGACACCUCUAAUUAUUUCUGUUGCAGAAACGUGUGCGUUCGUUGAUCCAAGAAACAUAUUACAGACGAUUGACAAAACUGAAACAAACACCGACAUCAAAGAUUUCUAAUAAAACUAAAAGUUACAUCAAAAUUUCAAAGUCAAAGUUGCUAAGACCCAUCAUCUGUAUCUUAGUAUCUCACCAUGUCUCCGGUGAUAAAUCGGAAGAAAACCGGACAUGUACAUUUGGACUAACUUUGCAGGGAUUUGAUCAUAUUUAACCCACUUAAUUUGCACUUUGAUGAUUUUUUUCCCACCUUGUCUCACUUACAAAUGGCUCCAUACCCCACAUGUAAGUGCCACAGUACGGACUAAAUCAUAGAAGUGCAAAUUAAAAUGGAACAAUUUUUUUUGAGAGCAUUAAAAUGGAACAAAUUAUCAAAUCUGUUUGUAGGUUGGGGAAAUAUCCAGUAAAAACUGGAAAUUCAGUGCAAAUCUGAAAACUCCCAACGUGAGUCAUCGGAUCAACAACGGAGGGUGUGGAUCAAAGGUGGGAUUUCUAAGCGUCCACUUAGAACUUUUCGCACAACCCCCUCCUUUCUCCAUAAUUAACUGAAUAAUUAGCCCACCAGCCCCCUUCUCCUAUCCCGUAUCUGUGCCUCUCGGCAGCUGGGCGACGGCGGCUCGGCGUUUCCCCCGCGCUAUGGCGGCUCAAAGACUGCGGAGACGCCACCGCUCUAUGCCUGGCGACCGCGACACAGCCCCAGCACGCGACGGCGUCGCGGCGACCUCGGCCAUGCCACACCGGCAACUUGGUGAGCGCUGCGCGGCCCGGCGCGGCAGUACUCGGCGGCCGCCACGCUUCCCGAGCACGAAGGAAUCUAUGCAUCCACGCGCAGCCGCGACAGAGACACGGGGGCCGCUGCGCUGCCCCAGCAUGACGGCAUCUCGUCGGCCACGGGCCCACGGCACUACUGCGACGGAGACUUCGCAGCCGCUGCGCUGCCCUGGCGCGACGGCGUCUCUGCGAUAGUGACUCGACGGCCAGGGCACAGCCCGCACGCGAUGGCUUCGGAGGCUUCUCCAUCGAAACUUUAUUCUGCAGUGCCUUCUGAAGUCGUUCCUGAAUCACCCCACCGCCUGCACCUAAAUCAAUAGAGAAAGAAUAGGAAUUUCAGUGCUUACCGGUACAGGGUUACAAGGAGGCUGGGGUGUGGGAGGGGACGAAACUGCGAGACCAUCGAGCACGAGGGCCAGUGGCGACGCAUGGUCUGAAGGGAGGCUCUCCCUCACGUCCGGCGGAGGGCGAGGGCUCAUGGCCGGUGGCGCCAUCGUCAGAUCGAACACGAAGUGACCAUGAGGAGGCGAAGAACCAGGGAGUUUGGUCAUCGUGGCAAAAGAGAGGGGGUUAUAUGAAAAGUAGAGUUAAGUGGUGUUUACAGAUCCCACCUUCGAUCCACACCGUUCGUUCUUGAUCCGAUGACUCACGGUGGAAGUUUUCAGAUUUGCACCAAAUUCCAGUUUUCACUUGAUAUUUCCCACGUAGGUUUGGACACCUCUAAAGAUUUUACCCAUAGAAACCCCGAACCUUCACACAGCCCAUGCAACAGCCCACAGCCCAACCGCUUCCGAGCCUCUCUUUUCUUCUGCGCGCAGCUCAUACACGAGGCAGCCCACGCGGGUAGGCGAUCGAUCGUUCGUUCUCCCGUGAGCUCUGAUCGAUCGAUCGAUCCUCCUCCUUUGGUCCUGUAUGUGCGCUAGCGACUCGCGCCCAGCCGCCCGCCCCCGCGCCCUUCCGCCGCUCCCCUGCGUUUGCGUCAUUACCGAUUCGCCGUGCCGGAUCGUUCUCUUCUGAGCCCCGGGAACUAUAGGUCAGGAAGCAAGGACUGGUACGUACUGCUAGUGCUAGGUUUUUAAAUUUUGUUGAUAUAUACGCGGACUAAAUUAAUGUAACACUGAUUCAUGAACUGAAGGCGACAUUAAAAUUUCGGAAGAAGAUUCUUAAUUUCUCAUACAUUUGUCUUGCAAUUUGUGAAAGAAAUUCUUAAUUUUCUUGCCAUGUUCGUGAAAAAGGAAAUUAUUCCUCAUAGUUGCAUUCGAGAGGCCUCGAUUGGGCUACCAUCCAACAGCCUAAUAACCGCCGACACAACAUUUUUAUCUCUUCAACUAAACAUAAUGUGCAUCUCCUAUCCCCUUGACGAGAUGAGUCCCCACGCCACACACACACAACACACACAAUAGAUCAAGGAAUGGUCGGGCUACUCUCGGUGAUCUCAGGAGGCCUUUGUAGACUGCUCUGAGUCGAGAUCAGAGACUAGAUGUAGGCCGAGCUUCUUCUUCCUCCUACCCAAUGGGUCAUGCCAUGGGUGACUUCAUAGAGUUUCAAUUCACAUCAUUAUGCUUCAUAAGGCAUUGGCAUCGAGGGGAACGAACCUAGGGUCACUUGAUUCGGCUCCGAAGAAACUCCGGCGAGCUCAAGUUGGCGAAAACACUACUAUAGAUGUGUGACGGUGGAAGAUCAAUGAGUUCAUUUUUUUCAAUGUUCCGAAUAGUAUUUUGACAUGCUACAAGCACACAUAUUUGCUACUUACGCACAACCGUUGUGUUGCAACGACCCAAGUGAUUAUUUUGAUGAAUGCAAAUGUAUUUUUUUCGUUACUGCAUACACCAACAUUGUUUUCUUACGCUGAAUAGAGAUUUGUUGCAUACAAAUAAGUUCUUGUGACAUGGACAUGGCUCACUUAUUAGUAGAUUUUUGGUUUUGUGAGGGAGACCAACCUCUAAAAGUAAACGCCACAUGUCUCAGCACAAACGUACAAUUUUAAGCAGCUCAGACGAUCGAAAAGACAACGGAUCGGUAAAAAAUAUCAUAAUUCCGCCGCCAGCUGCCCCGAGAAGUCCUCGGGGUCGCAGUCCUGGCGCCAUUCGAGCGCCAAGCACUCGUAAUCCGGCUCAGGCGCCCACUCCGGCUCCGGCUUUGGCCGUACAAGGCGGAGAUGGUCGCGAGGCGGCUCCGGCUCCCGUCGGUGGGAGGACGAACCCGGCUCAUCCUUGAUGCGCAGCGCUGGCAAGGAGGCGCGGCGGGACGAGCCGGAGCCGAAGUUGGUUGGCCCGGCCCUGUGCCGGUGCCGGCGGUGGAGUCUCCAGGCGCGGGUUAUCGUCGGCAGCGAUGGGGGCGAGCACCGCCGCCACGGAGCGCCCGCGCCAGAACCGGCGCCGGCCGUCGAUGUUGAACCGGUCCGGCGGAGGGCGCUCGUUUUGGCCCUCGUAGCGGGCGAUGUUGACGGGGUGGCGGUCCGUGAAUAGCGGCGCCCAGUUCGCCCCGGUGGCGCGGUUCCACGCGGGGUCUUGGCGCUCCUCCGCCAUCAGCCCGUGCCACCAGUAGGCGUUGAUGGCGGUUGUCCGGGCACGGCCAGUGAGCACCGGUGGCGUCGGGAUGCCGCCGAUGCUCAAUGUCCAGUGCGCUGGCAGUCAGGCGGCGCUGGGUACUCGUGCUCGUGGAGGGCCUCGGCCUACCCGAGCGUGAGCGUCGCGCGGCGCUAGGUCUCGUUGCCGGAAGCCAUGGAGUCGGAGGUGGCGUCCGAUGGUUUAGUGUUUAGGGCGAGAGGGAGGAAGCGGCGAGAGGAAUGCCGAGUACCACCGGUGGUUGCCCCUUUUUAUAGCGCCGGAAUGUGAACCGGCGGGCGUGUGAAUGCGGCGAUAAUGGACGGGGGUGCGGCCGCGUAGCAAACGGCGGGCUACCGCCAUUAAAAUCCGCCCGGGAGCUGAGGAGGGGCCGGUGAGAAACCGGUGAGGCGAUUAAUUGGUCGCUGAGAUCACGGGCCCGCCGCAAUAACGCAGCGCCCUUGCUCGCCCCCCUGUGGGCUGGGUUCGGUGUGGGGGGGCGGCUAACAAAUUUGGGGAGAUCGGCUGGGUCGAAAUUUUUGCACCAGCGCCCCCGAAGCCCGUUUAGGGGGCCUUUAGGGGGGGCGGCUGGAGUUGCUCUUUGUUGGUGGUUGUGGGGUCUCACUAUCUGUAUCCUUCUUGUAUCCAUUACUCGUUUGAACGCAGAUAACGUAUGUCUACGGGUGUAAUGUACGGAAAAAACAGGAAAAGAACAUGUACACUAUUUUGGGCCUUCCGCGCCCGUUUUGGGCCCGGCUAACCCCGUUUAUUCCGGGCCGGGCCGGCUCGAUGGCCAGAUACAGAGAAAAGAGGAGACGAGUGUAAAUGAAAGAGAAAAUAUCACAAAACCACAACAGUUACGUCCAUCUUAUCACUUAACCACAACUUCUGGAUUUUUUAUCCGAAAACCACAACCGAGCCUCCUAAUUGCCUUUGGCUUCUCUUAACAGCGAAACUGACGUUCCUGGCCCACCUGUAAGUGUUGACGGGGCAGCUGAUGGGGCACCGGGCGAGCCAGACACCGACCGGUCCGGUCGGUAGAUAAGCCAGGCGAGCCGCGAGCCCAUUCUGCGUGCGAAAAGCCAGUCUCCUUUCCCUCCAUUCGCGCCUUCACUGGUAGUGAAGUCACGGGCGGCGACGGCGGCGGCAGCUUGGAGCUCGCCGGCGGGAAGGAGCUCUUGCCCGAGAAGGAGCACGUCGGCGGCACACUGCAAUGGAUAAUGAGGUGAGUCAACUCCAUACAUUUGGGGAUUAGGGUUUGGUUGAUUGGAAUUUGAGGAUUUGGGGAUUAGGGUUCGGUUCAUCCGCUUCGAUUUGGGGGCUUCAGUGCAUCCAGUGUGGAAUUGAAGGGGCUCACAUACAAAUUGCAGGGGAGUUGCCGCUUCUAUGGCAAAGUUCCUAUCGACAUUGACGAUGUGGAGUUCUGUGGUGUGGAGGUGGACACGAAGCUGAAGUGCCGUCAUGGGUUGCAGCCAGUUCCUAGGGUUGCCUUUGAGGGCACUGAUACAGGCCGACGCUUCAUCAAUUGUUGUAUUGAGGUAACACUCAUUUGCAGUAAAUGUAUGUGUGUGUAGAAGAGAUUAAUUGAUUCAAUCUUGUUUGCUGCUUAGGAUGCUGACAGGUGCGAUUUCAUCUUUUGGUAUGAACCUGAAUGGCCCAUGACAAUGAAGAAUGCUCUUCAAGCUUUGUGGAAGAAGCUAGAUGAGAAGGAGCAGAGUAUGUACCGUGAGAUUGAUUCGUUGCUGAAUCACAUGUUACAGGAGAAGUUGAAGGCAGAGAAGGAAAAAGAAGAUGUGGAGACUGAAAUGGCAGAAAUUGCAGCCGAAUUUGAGGACAAGCUACAGGUUAUGAAGAAUGCUGUUGAGAAGAAGAACAAAUGGUUCAUGAUUUCAGUUUUCUGCAAUGUAGUGAUGCUUGGAGUUUUAGCUUCUGUGUUUGCUCUCAAAUCAUGAUGUGUAAUCUGUGUUUGCUCUCAAAUCAUGAUGUGUAAUCUGUCACAAUGAAUGUGCACUGAAUAUGUUGGCUGCUGUUUAUUAUGAAUGAAUAUCAUCUGUUUGAAUGAGUUUUGAAUGAAUAUCAUCUGUUUGAAUGAGUUUUGAAUGAAUAUCAUAUGUUUGAAUGUGCACAGCAAAUUGAGACUGUGUGUAAUGCUAGAAUUGGGACAGAAUGAAACACGUACUUGCUAGAAUUUGGACAUAAUGAAACACAUCAAGUCGAUAACAUCAACUGGAUCUUAAAGUGCCACAUAAGCUGGCCAAAAUACACACAUAUUCAGUCACUCGUACAGCCACACAACUUGGCCAAAAUGCACAUAUUCAGUCACUUCUACAGCCAACCUAGCCAAAAUGCACACAUACUCAGUUACUUCUACAGACAUAAGAGGUUCACAACAACAUAACAAGUUCACAACUACCAUAAGAGGUUAAUGACAUGCCAUUUCACACAUUAUGGCUCAACAUCAUUGUCAUCAACUCGGAAAGAAGAUUCUACCCCUGCAGUAAAGUACUCCAUCAUUCCUCCCCUUGGCCUUGUCACUCCUCCUCUUCCUCUAACAGCAGACAUCUUUGCAGCCCUUGGAACUCUAUGGUGCAGACCUGGGAGCUUCAUAUGCUGGCUCUGGAGUUGUGUAGCUUGGUUCUAGAGGUGGGUAGCUUGCUUCUGGUGUGUACCUUGAUUCUGGAGGUGGGUAGCUUGCUAAUGGUGGUGGUGGUGUGUAGCUUGGUUCUGGAGGUGGGUAACUUGCUAGAGGUGGUUCAGUGCUUACAUCUCCUCCUGCCGAGCCUCCUUCAUAUUCUUGCCUUCUUCUAUUACUCUAAUGACAUGAAAAAGAAGUUAGUUAUGCUUAGUGUUAUAUAAAUGUGUGUAAUAGAAAUCAUUAAAUUACUUGAUGCUGUCUUUUCCUAAUCUCCAGAUCAGGCCUCAAAGGUUUGGAGCAGCUUGUGUACUUAUGGCCUUGCAAGUGACAGUUGCUACAAGUGGAACUUGUCAUUCUGCCUUUUCCUACGGGUACCUUAGCUUUCUCAUCUGUUCCUUUCCUUCUAUUCUUCUUCCUUCUACCAAGGUAGUUCAAGAAAAUAGGUGGAUCAAUAUCAGGACUGGCUGUCUUGGUCCAUGCAUGCUUGCUAGGGACUGGAUACACCAGCAGUUUGUGUGCUUCUUUGUAUAAAGGCAUUUUGAAAAAUGGGUAACGUAAUCUUCAGGGUGACCUUUUGCUUUGUAGAUGGCAGCACAAGCAUGCUUGCAUGGCACUCCAUUCAGGUCCCAUCUUCUGCAGCCACAUGUGUGAGCUAACAAGUUAACAUGAUAACUAUGAUCUCCACUUCCUACCUGCCAUAUUCCCUGUCCAGCACACACUGGCCUGCAUGGCCUUGAUCUCUUUUUCUCCAUCUCUAACUGUUCAGCAUACUUUGGACAUAUCUUCCAAUUAGCUGUUGCAGCCCCCUCUCUCUUUUGGUUAAAUCUGGGCAUUAGUUUAGUCCUAAUCCCUUCUAUCAUUGUUAUAAUAGGCUUAUCUCUUAAUGAUAUGAUGAAUUUGUUGAAAACCUCAGAUAAGUUGUUGACCACUAAAUCAGUUUUACAAUUGGUGUCCAUAGCAUGUCUACACCAGUGCUUAGUUGGUAUCUUGUUCAACCAUUCCCAUGCGGCCUCACACUCAUCUUUCAAAGCAGCCAUAGCCUCAUCAAAGUGGUGCUUAGUGUAUGCAUAACUAGCACUGUACAUUAACUUAUUUAAGUCACCACUCCUAAACCCUGUUGUUUGAUAGUUCUGGUACAAAUGCCUAAGACAAUAUAUUUGUUCACAAUCAGGAAAAACUCUUUCUAAGGCGCCAAGCAGACCCUAUUAAUGUAUUAAAGUAUUUAUGUCAGCCAUAUGAAACAAUUUCAACUUUGAAUUGAUAUUUUCUACAUAUGAAGGAAUCAAGUUAUGUAUGUAUGUUGCAUACCUUCUGUCUAUCAGACAUGAAGGUCCAUCUACCAAAUGGGACUGAAUCACCACCAAGUGCAUAUUUGAGCUGUUCCAAGAACCAACACCAGCUAGGGGUAUCCUCUUUGCAAAAGCCAAAGGAAACAAAUUAUUGUUUCCAUCCCUUCCUGAAGCUGCCAAGACUUGAACCCCAGUGGUCAACUUGAUAAAACACCCAUCAACACGUGUUAAUAUACAAUUUCUGUUAUUUAACUAUGAAAUGUACCGGAUAAUGUUUUAAACAAUGGGACAAUAGUUUAAUGAUUUACCUAUGAAUGGCCUGCAUCCAUUUUUAAAUCUUUCAAUUUGUGCAUUCAGGCAGUAGAACAGCCCAUGAAACCUAGGAUUGAUAGCUGGCAUUGGUUGCAUCAUGGUGUGGACAAUACACCUGCUGCCUGGAUUGGUAUCAAGGACAGUCUGGAGGUAAUCUCUAAUUCUCACAUAUUGCUCCUUGUGAUUCCCUAACACCACCUCAGCUGACACUUCAACACCAUAGUCUCUGAUGGUCUUGUCAAUCAUUGCUGUUACUUUCCAAUCUAGGUCACUCCUUAUUGCCUCCUCAUAUGUCUUGCUAAGCCAGCCACUACUGACUCUUGUUGUCUCAUAGUCUAUUCCACAGGAAUGAUUCAUUACAAGCUUUCGAAUGCACACUGUUUUAUCAUGUUUAAUUUGUGAAGCUACCAUAUAGAAUGGACCAAAUUCUUUACUGCAACGAAUAAUUACUCUAUCUCUAUCAUUUCUGAGAUACUUGUAGUCUCUAGCUUGUGCAAUGUGCAAACCCUUUAGAGCACGUCUAAACUGAUGGACAUCAGUAAAGCACAUGCAUAACAUAAUCUGAUCAUGAGGCUGCUUCCUAGCUUCAUCAUACCAUACCCUAGGAGGUAACUACUUGGCUCUACUCUUCUUCUUAAGUGGUUGCAUCAGUGUAGCUACUUCAGCCCCAUCAUCAUCACUAGAUCCCAACUCUUCUUUGAUGUUCAGAUCAUCAUCAGACAAUACAAAUACUGCGACAUCACUACUAGAACCUUGGGCUGCUGCAUCUCUCUUCUGUGUCCCAAUUGUUGAACCUUUCCUUUUCCUUCCUGUGCUGACAGAUUCUUGAGUUUCUUGCACUGGAGCUUCAACAUUAAUUGGAACUAGAUCUGGCACAUUUGUUGCAAAUGGAUCAUGCAGAGGCACAUCAUCUGGUUUAGCAAACAAAUCCUCAUCUUCUGUAUCUCCUUCUACAUGCAAUUCAGGAUCAUCUUUCUCUCUCUGAAUCUCUUGCAUUUUCUCCAAUGCCUCCAAGUCCACUACAUUCCCACUGCCAUCAGGUGCAAAAGCUUCAUCUGCACUGCUAUCAUCUGAAAGUACCAACAGGCCCUCCUCAUCAAUGCUAGCAAUGCCUUUCCCUUUGUCCUUCUGCAAAUGCAAACUCUCUCCAUUCACACUCUCUUGUGUGCCAACAUCUGCUGCCUCAAUAAACUCAGGUUGUCUAGUUGGCUUAAAAGAUCUCUUAGGCUUUGAAGGUGAUGGCUUCAAUGUGGGCUUCGAAGGAGGUGUACAUUUCCUAAACAUUGUCAAUGUGACUUUCUUAAUAGCCUCAUACUUCUUCACCAUCUCUUCUACCUUCUCAUUGCUAUCUAUAACCUCAAGCCCAGCAAUGCCUUUGCUUUCUUGUUUCAUAUAGUACAUAUAUGAAUCCCCAAUGUACCCAAAGGUAGAAAUCAAACUGAGCAAGUUUUCAUAUCUCAAAUAUGUCCUGCCAAUCCUUCGUUUAACCAUGUCUAAGCCAUCAAACAGCAGAUUCACAUCCCAAACCUCAUCGUCAAGCCUACGGCAUUUGAAUGACAAAAUAGUCAAUUCGGAGCACAAAUAACAGCAACUCGCCCCAAAAAGUACACCUAAUUCAUGUCUAACCAAACCCUAACCUCUCAACCUCUAUCAGGUCGCGAUUUACCUAACCCUAGCUAAUUCGUCACCAUUGUCAAAAUACUCCAUGACGCAGCGAUUCUUCCCACAAAUGCAAUCCACCUAAAUCCACAACGAAAAUCACCAAAAAAAACGUCGAUCAUCCAAACCCCCAACCCUUCCUCGCAAGCACGUACCAUCGCGAACAAAUCAACCGACCCCAAGAUGCGAGACAAUCAGGAAAGAGAUCGACGGAUCUUACCAAACCUCGUCGCCGUAGUCGCUCCAGUUUAUCGACAUUGCCGCUGCCGAUCUCCGACAGCACGCCUGCCGUCGCCCAACCCCGUCGCCUACUCUGUCGCCUUUUCUGAGAGAGAGAGAGAGAGAGAGAGAGAGAGAGAGAGAGAGCGGGGAAGGAGGGGAAUGGACUGGCUCGGUCGAACCAGGUCCAAACCCAAAUAAACCAGCCGGGUGCCCCAUCAGCACUUACAGGUGGGCCAGGAACGUCAGUUUCGCUCUUAAGAGAAGCCGAAGGCAAUUAUGAGGCUCGGUUGUGGUUUUCGGAUAAAAAUUCCAGAAGUUGUGUUUAAGUGAUAAAAUGGACGUAACGGUUGUGGUUUCGUGAUAUUUUCUCUGAACGAAAGCAUGCUCUUUCCUUUAAAAAAAAAGCUUGCCCUGCCAAACAGAGAACACCAACGGCUCGGAAGAAUCUUCUCCCCCUCCACUAUUACCCGCACGCUCCGACGAACGCCGCACUAGACUCUGAGCUGAAACCAGGGAGGGGUGAGCGAGGGAACUCGGGGAAGCAGGAGGAGGACGGGGAAAGGUGCGAGAACACCGAGAUGGGGUCCGGAUCUUUCCUCAAGGUAGUGGCCAAGAACUUCGACAUCCUCGCCGGGUACGGGCUUUCCCCCCUUUCCUUCUCUUUUGUUUGGCUUAAUCCUCCCCCGACCCCCGGCGAUUCAUUGAUUGAUGGGAUGUUCUGGGGGGUCGUUACGGCGAUUCUUGAUAGGAUCUGCUGUUCAUAUCGUUAGCGGACCCGGCUGGCUGCGCUCGGGCUUGUGAGGGGAAAGUGUGCGAGAAUCUUGGGGUGGCCGCGUUGUAUGUUGCUAUCUCGUGGCGAGGGGAAAGGGUACGCGAACUCGUUUGGGUCCUUUUGGAUCCUGCUGGCAAUGGGAAACAUCGUGCUUCUACAAAGUUUGUAUCCCCGCGCCCCCCCCCCCCCCCCCCCCCUGGCGGUUAUGUUCAUACUCGGUGAACAUGGUACAUUUGCAUCUUGGAUUAGUGAUAUGGUUUAUGCUUCCAGAAAGAGUGUCAACCAUAUGGUGCUGACAGUGACAGCUGACUCUUGCUGAUCUGCAUGCCCCACAAUCGUGUGGACAAUAGAAAGUUAGGAACAGAGUGCUACCUUGUGUUGUCUAGAAGGAAAACAAUGCUGCGGGUAUUUUUGAAGGGAGCAAUUGAUAUCCAAGAUGGAAUUUGAAUUCCCAUUGUUCUGCGAACUCUGCUCAGUUUAACUAUUGGAUGAGCCUUCCUGUGAACUGCUACAAUCAUGUGAGCUAACUAACUUUUGUAGGCAUGAAAGCUUUUCUGGAUUGUUGUCAUGUGCCGUAUGGACAAUUUGGUUUGCUAUUAGAAUAAAAAUGUUUGAUCUUAGUAAAUGAUAAUGCCAUGUUAUCAUGAAAUUCUCUGGGAGAUAGAGCUAGCUCUGUCUAUGCGAUCUCUCAUAGCUUCAUAACUAGGAUAUGAGACUAUGUCCAUGUAAUGUGUCAUAGCUUCAUGACUAGAAUAUUUAUAUAGAUACUUCCAUGUGAAGGCUAUUUAAAUGCUUCCAGUUCUAAUUUUGUUUCUUAUUUCCUCUUUGCAGGCCAGUAAUUUCACUUGCUUAUCCUCUGUAAGUAUUAACAUUGUCCUAAAUUACAUGAUUCACUAACCUUGUUUUCAUCUCGAAACUAACUUUACAGUAUUGUAGUUCUCACCAUUUUCUCUGUUGACAAUAUUUGCAGAUAUGCCUCUGUGAGAGCUAUUGAAACAAAAUCUCAAGUAGAUGAUCAACAGUGGCUCACUUACUGGGUGUUGUACUCAUGUAUCACUUUGGUUGAGCUUACUUUUGCUCCAGUAAUUGAAUGGUAAAUAACACUUUUCUGGACCCUGGGAUAUGCUUAUUUUAGAAUGUCGAAACCUUUGAUAUUUCAAAAUGUUCAGUAUCGAUGACCUUCUCCAGUACUUUCUACUUUCUACCAGUGGGAAGCUAUAACAAUGAAAGGCUGAGAGAAAAAUUGGCCCUGAUUCUGUCUAUCCCUUUUUAUGCUUCCUGGUUUUCUUAUGAUCUUCAUUAUUUCAUGCUGAUAUUAUUGGAGAUACCUGAAUAUAACUAUGUUUUGUGGAGAAGCCAAUAGAAGAUAUGCUUACUUAAGAUUCUUUUUUGCAGGCUUCCUUUCUGGCCCUACGCAAAGUUGUUCUUCAACUGCUGGCUAGUAUUACCUUGCUUCAAUGGUGCUGCUUAUGUUUACCAGUAUUUUGUGCGGCCAAUGUUUGUGAAUCGCCAAAUUGUAAACAUAUGGUAUGUCCCCAGAAAGGACAAAUUAAGUAAACCUGAUGAUGUACUCUCAGCGGCUGAGAGAUAUAUUGAGCUAAAUGGACCAGAAGCAUUCGAGAAGCUAAUUAGCAAGGUAUAUAUGUUCUCAACUGAGUAAUUACAAAUACUUUUUUUUGGUGAUGUAAUAUGCUACUCCCUCCGUUCCAUAAUUCUUGUCUCAAAUUUGCCUAAAUAUGGAUGUAUCUAUUCCUAAAAAACGUCUAGAUACAUGUAAUAUUUUGACAAGAAUUAUGGAACGGAGGGAGUAUCCCUUAAUGUUAUACGCUCAACUGAUGUAGACUGUAGUGUCCGCGUAUUACUUCUUAUGUCUUUCUGUGUUAUUUGCCCCUUCCUUCCUUCCAAUAUCGGCAAAAGGCUUAUGAAUCAAGUAACCCUUACUUUGAGUGACUUAAUAGAAUUUGCUGAUUGAUUCAUUCUUCUGUGCAAGAUUGUAUUGUCUUCUAUUCUUCUGUGAAUGCUUGCAUUGCUGAUGCAGUUUUUCAUCGAUCAGUGUUCAGUUGCUACUCUUGCAGAAAUUGUACUUCCCCUUCUCAAAAAAUAAAAUUCAAAUAAAUAAACAAUCGUACUUCUCCACAUGACUGGGUUUGUAGUAUCUUUUUCCUCUAUAUUUUACCUCCCUCUAUUAACUCUUCUUUCAGUCUACAAGGGCUUCAAACUCUAGGAGCAUGAGGCGGUCAAUCUUGCAGGAGUCAGAAGCUGAUAAGAUAGGCAAGGCUGAAAGAGAAUCGUGGGGUGAAAAUCCCUUCUACGAUAAAAACUACCGACACUAAACAGCCUGUUCUUCUUGGCCAUCCAUCUCAUCAGGUUAGCCUUAAACUGUACCUGUGAGCUGAAUGCCUAUCUGGAUUUCUGUUGUGAUUUAGAAUCACAGGCUCUUCCUUACGAAGCUUCAAUUCUACUUCUCAUGCAGUAUGUUUGGAUCUGCCAGAGGAAGAGCUUUUCACACAUCUAACUGGAGGAUCUUACUUGACACGCCUACUAAAUCGACAUCCAGAACAAAUACAAUGUUUCUUGAAAAUGGGUGCUUGUGUUGAAAAUUUCCCAGGUUCUUAGAUGAUGUAAUAUGUUGCAUUGUAUGUUCGUGCUAGCUUUGGUUAGAUAAUUUUUUUUGACGCCAAUUGGUUAGACAAAUUGGUCCUGUGAAAGGACAGUGACUACAAAAUCGUGUGUGCGUUAGGGGCAGACAGAGCCCUUAACGUAGCAAUUUCUUGCGUGUUAGCACUUAUCUUACUGCAAAAAUCGCGUGUUUAAAACAGACUUCUAAAGCGUUUUGCAGUCUUGAAGAACUUCAAAUGCAUACAAAUAGAGCUUUCGUUCUGCAAAAAUCACGUGUUUCAAACAGACUUCUAAAGCGUUUUGCAGUCUUGAAGAACUUCAAAUGCACACAAAAAGAGCUUUCAUUUUUGUGCUUCUUACCGGCCUGUUUGGGACAUCGGAUUGAUCUCCCACGGCUGUACAUUCAAAAUUAUGGCUCAAAAUUUAACACGAAGAUUGAUCUAGAGACAAAUAAACACGAUUUCGAAGAAGCACAAACAAACGAUUUUGAUUCUCAAAAUGCCAUCGUCUUGGACAUCUUAGGUUAUAAAAGUUCGUUUUCCCGAUACGCGCUCUAAUCCUCCUACCACGUAAACCACGGACUGCUCCCACAAAGGCCCGCACCACGAUUGAUCCACACCGUUCAUUUGGCACAACAGCGGAACAACCAUACCCCCGCGGUCGUGGUCCAUGCGCCAGGUCCACGGGCACCGCUCGGAGUCCGGAGCCCUUCUUUCCUGCGCCGCGACGCCUCGAGCUCGUUGUUGCCCCUCUCUCUCCCUCCUCCGCUUCGCGCACUUUUCUCGCCCACCGCACACGCGUCGAGCAAAACCCUCGCGCUCUCUGAUCGCCUCCUUCUCCACGCAGCCGGAGGAAUCCGGCCACUGAAUCGCCUCGCCGGUGCCGGUUCCGGCGCUGGCAUCUGUUCCGUGCCGACAAGGAUUAAUUGCCUCGGUCCUGCCCAAUCCAAUCAGCGCUGUGAUGUUUCGGAACCAAGCUUUGAGGUCAUUUUCAUGACUUUGCUAGCGCGUUUCUGAUUUCUGAGAGUUGUUUCGAUUGCGUCAAUCUAGGGUCAAUUUUACUUACGUGCGAGCUAUUUGGGGUUAAAUUUCAAUCGCUAUGCCUCUUUGAUUUGACAUUUUUGGGUUGUUUUUCCCAUUAUAUUGUUUACAUUUCGCAAAUCUUUGGAUUUGGCGGAUAGCUCGUAUGGACCGCUAGCAUGGGCGGAGGACAAAUGGUUUCUGAGGUAGGGCGAACUCCUAUUCAUUCUAGAACCGAACAAAUAGCAUUCAAUAUUUUCUAUAUAUGCAAAAAUAUAUUUUAAUAAUUUUGGUUUGUUUAGCCUUUUUUGCCAUUCAUUUUUAGCAUCAUCGUAUAUUGUCUAGUAACUAAAUAUUUGUGUGUUACUAAAAUUUAAAGUAAUUUUAAUCUUAUGUAUUACAUUAGUUCUUUAAAUAUUUGGGUCUUAUUUAUUAUCUUUGUUCUAAAUAUUAAUUAAUAUAUACCACAUAAAAUAUAUAACAAUGAAUAUGAUUUGCAAGCAGUUUCUACGUGCAGGAACAGACAAGCAACAUUUCAAAAUUUUAUAAUAGUAAAUGUAUAAUUACAUUUUUGUUUGUAAAGAUAUCUUCAUAUUUAACGUACCGAACUAAAAAGAUCUGUAGAUAUUUUACAUGAUAAAACAAGAUUUUUCAACAUACUUCUAGAGAUACAUCAGCAAGAAGCACAAAAGCCGAAACAUGAUUUGACCCAAAUCAGAAUUUCUUAUAACUUAAUAAAGAAAAGUACACCACGUGAUAAUAAUUCUCUAUUGUCAUUAAACAAGAAAUGCAGGUAAAAGAAAAAAAAAUUAAGACAAUAGUGAGCAAUCGUGCAUGGACAUCAACUGUUGUAUGUAGCCAAAAUAAUUCUAUGAGAAACGUUUCAUGAGUCGUGGUUAAAAGGACGGGAAAAUGGGCAAGUACAAGCAAAAGACAAAUUCUUAUUUACAUGAGAUGAAAUUAUGCAACUGCCUCUUUUUUCACAUGGGUCAUGCCUAGGUGUGCCUUUCGCCUUAGCGGGGCUGCACGGCACGACCCGUAUAUAUGUGAGUUUGAAGACCGGGCCGGGCGAAGCGAGCCGUUGGCCAGCUAAUACACCUCUCCCUCCCUCUGCCCGUGAUACCAGGUCUAAUUUUCUAGAAACUUGUUAAAUCUAUGACAUGUGACAUUGCAAACGAUGAAAAUCUCAUCUAUUCUUUUGUUUGAUCGUUCUAGGUUCCUCUUUCAUGUAAAAAAAAAGUUGUUGGGUGCCAAAAACAGAUUGCUCUUAAUCGAAUUUCCAAGACAUAAAAUAACAUCACCUGUCUUGUGGUUCUUCAGUUUGUCACCGACCUCUGUCUUCUCUCUUCAUCUAGCGGUGACGACGGGAGCUGAGGCGGCAACCUCCAUGGCAGCAACCUUCUACGACCAUAUCGAUGCAGGUACCUCCUCCUCCCUCUCGUUUGUCGCUGCUACGUGGUGGCACUUCCGGUGCCAGACCACCUCGACCUGUGCACCAUACAUGUUCCCUUUCCUCGCGCAGUUCCCUUCUCCCAGGAAAGGUAGGGCUAACGAUCAGAUCAAAUCCCCCUAAUCUAUAUCUAUAUAACCUAUAAAGUUGAUCCCCACUAAGUGCAAUUAAUGUUUGCAAACUUCACAUGCAAGGUGUCCACAUCAUGCAUAUCGUGGGCAUUCAAAGUCUCCACAUCAUCAUCCACAUCAUGUGUUCUGGUACACUAAGAAUCCAUUUUGGUGGUAAUUUAAUAUUUUGAUACCUAAAAUUUUCCAUCUUCACGUUACAUACAAAUAUGUCACCAAACACAAAUAUUUUCAUGAUAUCUAUGUCAUUUUUCUAAGAUAUGCAAAUAUUCAGGUUAACGAAACUUCACUUUUCGGAUUUUUCAAAAUUGUUAAUGUUCAUGCACAUCAAAAUUACACAUAUUAUUUUGUUGCAUAAGUGUUAUGAAUGAUAAAAUCGUUUUGUUCUACAAUAUUCAUAUUUAUUUUACAUUAAAUCAUAUUAUUGUCAUUUGUUUGUAAAAUUAUAAGGAGACGUGUAUUUUCUGCGGCAGCCACCUAGUCUUGUUAUCAAUUUCUUCAUAAUCUUACUCUAACUCGAUGGACAACCGGGCCAGAUUAGAUGUCGCAGGCUCGCUCCGUGGCUCGUCUUCCUCCUCGCGCGGUCGCGCCAGCACCGCCACCGCUGCCGAGCGCCCCAGCCCCCUGGCUCGUCUUCCUCCACCGCAGGUUGAUCUCCCCUCUCUCUCCCGACCGUUUCUCCUCUCCCAUCACCCCACGAACGGAUUCCGCCCUUUAGCUCCCCGUUUCAUCUUCCCCAAUUCAUAACUGAGCCGAAAAUCAAGGUGGGGCGGCCGCCCUACCUUGCCCUACCGGGUCCUCCGCUCGUGACCCCUAGGGUUGCCUUGACAUGAAUCGACCCUAAGGGGUAAUGCUUUAUCUGCAGAAACGUUAGUGCAUGAGACGCAAUUUUAAUCGUAAAUUACCCGUCGUGGGGACGGAUUGCCGAACUUUGUUUCUGGUCUAGAGUUAUACUCUGAACAUUCAGUUGUGUUUUUCCAAGUGUUCUGUGCUCUCUUAUCUCCACAUCUUUAUUUUUUUCAAUUUUAUCAUGUUGGCUGGAUUGCUGUUUAGACCUGGAGUUGUUAGGCAUAUUUGUAGUAUGUACUUGAAAGUUCUACAGUUUAUCCCUUCUGUUAUGCUUGCACAGUGAGAAGAAAUGAAGAAUCUAGCUCUAGUGGUGUGUUUGAGUCAGUGAUUCAGAUUUAUAAUUCUGCAGAUCCCUUGCUACAGGGUUUGCCUUUUAUGGGAUUGGUCUAGAGGAAGCCAUGUGGUUGCGACAGGUGUGUGGUCUUGGAAUGAACGCAUCUUGUGGCAUAUUGACUCUGGGUGUUGCUGUCUGGCCGCAGAUUAUUCGAAGAACAAUCCCUUUGAGAGGGAUGUUGAACAGGUAAUCAUUUAUCAGGCUCUUUGCUCAAUGGAAUGAGUAAACCAUGCGUAAGAAAUGAGCCUAUCUGGCUCAGUUGAGUGAGGGAGUUGAUGUACAAUUCUGCCUCCCAAGUUCAUGUCCUCCUGGAUACGAAUUUGGGUCCUUUCUUCUUUUCCAAACAAAAAUACCUACUUCCUCCUACGUAUUCUCAUUUUGUUUAAGUGAUGUGUAAAUUAUGAACAAGAGUAGGGCAAUAACUCAGUGUGGUUGCUGUUUCAUUUCUCAAUGAAAAAAUAAUGAGGUACUGUGGCCCUUGCGCUCUAAAAUAAUCGAGUGUGGAUUUUUGGCACACAUAGACAUAUGCACCCAGCACUAUUUAGCAGCUAUGUGAACUUGCGCAUUUGGAUUUUUUAUUUAUUAUUUAUUUUUGAAGAAGACAUGACACUAACAAAAAAGAGUACCAAAAUAUUUUUAUUUUUUGUCUGUGCAGACAAAGAAUAAAAUGCCAAAAUACAGCAUGAAUGUGUGAAGAUUUUUUUUCUGUACAGUUCACAAAUGAGUAUAUUUUGUCACAAUUUUUUGUUAUUUCUCAUGAUAAUAUGUAAUGCACAUCUGUGAAAAUUUUGAAAUACUUCCCAAAUCCCAAAUGUUUUGCAAUGUGGUCAUAUGAACCGUGCUCAUUUGUGUAUUUUCCGACAAUAACCUUCAAGCUGUGUAACCUUGCUUGAUCUGUUAUUGUCUGGACUCUGGCACCUGGUGCAAACUGCGAAGUGGUUGGUUUAACAACAUGUUGGUGAUGGGAAGCUGGAGCAUCAAACAGGAAAAAUAAGCAGUUUAGCACCUGGUGCAAACUGCAAAGUGAUGAGUUUAACAAUAUUUUGUGGUUAGAAGCUAGGAGCAUCAAUCAUGUAAUCUCUUAUUUGAGAAUAUAUUGAGAGCAUGUGAUCUUAGACUAACCUUCUGAUGAUAUAAUUCAACUUCUGUAGGCAGUGUGGGAUUAACUUGCUUUAUUCUCAAAACUGAACUUUUCUUUUGCUUGCAAGUAAUCAAAUGGUGUAAAAUGGAAUGUUUCUUCUCAUGUUCAUUCACUAAUUUGGGUGCUUCUGAAUUUGCUAGGCAAUAGCAGCCCUGAAGAAAGGGACACAUUUAUUGAAAUAUGGGAGGCGAGGAAAACCAAAAUUUUGUCUAUUUAGACUUUCAAAUGUAAGUAGCAAUAGCAUCUUCUUCUGGGAAUAAAUAUUGCUAGCCUAUUUUGGCCUAUUACCAAAUCAACUAGAUGAGAUAUUUUUUGUUUGUUUCUGUAGCAUUAAGUUGUAAAUUGUAAUUCUAACCAUUGUACUUAGCAUUUUUCCUCAGACUAAAUCUUUUACAUUUUCCAUGAAAGUUCUAGUUGAUCCAUCUAUCAAUUCUCUGAGGGGACAUCACUAUUAUAUGUAUAAUUUGCAAUUGGCACCUACAUCUUACAUCCUAGGAUAUUUUAAGAAGAAUCUGCAUGUGCGAAAAGAACAAGCACUGUGUCCUAAUGCUUUAUCUCAAAAAACAUUUCAUGCAUAAAUCUUAUCCCUAUGUGUCUAUGGUUUAUCUUUUUUGCAACUGUUCCCAGGAUGAGACUAUGCUCAUCUGGUACUCUGGGAGAAUGGAGAAGCAGCUAAACCUUAUUCAAGUAUCAAAAAUAAUACCUGGACAACGUACGGUAAGUCCUUGCUUGGAUAAUUUUAUGUUUCCUAAUUCUGCAAUUCACCUGACCUGUCUUAGAAGAGUUUUCUGUUUUAAACAUGACCAAAUGGAACUUAGAUUCAUGUUAAUGGCGGGUUUUUUUAAGGUGGCGUUUUUUUCUUUUUGAGAACACACACAAAAGCUAUGUGUAUCUUUUCAUUAAGAUAGACACCAGCCAAGGACAAAAUAAAUGACAAUGAUGCUAAAGGGUUGGAGAAACUCCCUCGUCAUAGUUCAUCUUUGGGACUUGCUAAAACAGGAAAACAAUGAGAACGACCAAAGCCAACCAAGCACAACUGAGUCCCUUCCUCUUUCAUGGACUUGGCAAGCUCUCUCAAUUUGUACUGCCAAUUUUUCGGCCAAACCACAAAAUUACCAUGGCUUCAAACACCCUUCUGCUAGUCUUUAAUAACCUAUUUCUGCCUUUUUUUUAUGGGAAAACUGUAGGGGAGGUCCCAAGAGUACAAUUUUAUUAAGAUGGAAUAUAAAUACAAGGGAUCUGUACAAGAUUAGGGAAUAUACACAAGAGGGGGUCUGUACCAACGUAUCUUGGGUUGGUAGCCACGAUGUCUCUUGGUUCGAAGAUUAACGUCAGACUCAAAUCUCAACUAAUUCAACCCCCUGUAUGUGAACUUACCAAACCGAAGAUACUUUGGUGCACACAGGUUACAGCUGAUGAUAACAGAGGCAUACUCGAACUAAUAAAGUACUCUUAAUGAUUUAAUUGGAAUCGAGCAAAUGGGUAGCAAUUGCCUUAUGGCAAAGAUUUACACAAAAGGUUCCCAUGUAGAAGUAGAAAGUUAAUAAGCUCCGGUAGUGGCUACUCCAUUAGCUACACAGGCUUCUUACUGGGCCUGCAAAUCUAGCGUUCUUCAACGAAUUCCUCCUAGAAGAGGCUUUAGGACUCCCCAACUUCUGUUGAUGAUUGUUUAUAGCAAGGUUAAGUGCAUGAAGUACUUAGCAAGGAAUGCAAUUAGAAAGUAUUCAUGAUGCGAUGGUAUCAAGAAUAGGCUUGGGGUUUGUUUGCAUACAGUGAACAAGUAUUUGACAAACAUCAUAAAGAAGCAGGGGAAUAACGUGAGUUAACCCAAAUAUAAAAAGGAACAGAGGAAGUUUUAUUUUUCUUCCUUUUUUCCCUAGGUCGCAUUGUCUGGGUCACAUGUAAAAAAAACUAGGCCACUUGCCAACUCUGUUCAAUUAUUUUCUAGAUAACCAAGACAUACAUGGCAAGAUGACUAAUACUCAUGUUUGCUGUGCCAUCUUCAUUGCCAGGCUAUCUUCCUGCGAUAUCCAAGACCUGAUAAAGAGUAUCAGUCGUUCUCCCUCAUAUAUGGCCAGAGAUCAUUGGAUCUGGUGUGUGAAAUUCAUAUCUUACUUGCAGUCAUGCUUAAAUUUGUAACCCGUUAUUUACUUACAUGCUGAUCAAAGACAAGUAUUGGAAAUAUAUGCUGUUACUUUGAACCUGUGGUUAGUUUAAUAAACCUCAGUACGGCAAUUUGUGUCAGAUCUGCAAAGAUAAGGAUGAGGCAGAAGCCUGGUUUGUUGGUUUAAAGGCACUUAUUUCCGGAAGAAGCUGUAAGUGGCCAAGAGAAACAAAAAAUGAUAAAGCUUCUUAUAGGCCAAUUAACCAUUCGCGUGGAGAUUCACCAUUUGCAUCUCGUGUUAUAAUACUGAUGUUGAAAGUAAGGUAAGUAAGCAGUGAUUUCGCUCUGUACAUUCAUUAGUUUCUAUCUGUGUAUAUUAUAGCAUGCUUGCUAUCUUUGUAGGCAUCAGAAAGCAUACAACGAUUUGGCACAAAUCAGGAUGCUCGUGCAUUUGCUAACUUUGGAAAUAUAUUUUCUGAUGUGAUAUUAUACUCUGGGCAGGAGAGCAGUAGAGUUAGUAGUACAGGUUCAGUUAGUACUUCCAACUCCAUUUUAUCCGGAAGUGCAGAUACCUCAAAUGGGGGAUUACCUGGAGUUGCUAAUAAUGUCACAGUUAGCCAUUCAAGUGCAGUAAGUUCAUGCAGCUAUGGAUCAAGUGAUGAUUUUGAUUCAUUGGGUGAUGUUCUCAUUUGGGGCAAAGGAGUAGGUGAUGGCACACUUGCUCAUUCUUCGGAUUUAUCUGGAAAAUCAUACUCUUGUAGCAUUGAUGCAUCUAUACCGAAGGCACUGGAAUCGACAAUUCUGCUGGAUAUUCACGGUAUAGCUUGUGGGAGUAAGCAUUCAGUUCUGGUUACUAAACAAGGAGAAAUGUACAGUUGGGGUGAAGAGUCAGGUGGUAGGCUCGGACAUGGAGUUGAUACUGAUGUUAUCCACCCUAAGGUUAUUAGUACCUUGAGUGCCAUUAGUAUUGAAUCAGUUGCAUGCGGGGAAUUUCAUACUUGUGCUGUUUCUUUUUGUGGGGAUCUGUACACAUGGGGUGAUGGGAUGCACAAUUUUGGUCUUCUUGGUCAUGGGAAUGAUACCGCUCAUUGGAUUCCAAAGAAGGUAUGUGGCCUAUUGGAAGGACUGCACAUCUCAUCAGUAUCAUGUGGACCUUGGCAUACAGCUGUUGUGAGUUCAGCAGGCCAAUUGUUCACUUUUGGUGAUGGGGUAUUUGGUGCAUUGGGCCAUGGAGAUCGCCGAAGCACAACUGUUGCAAGGGAAGUGGACUCUCUAAGAGGCAUGCAUACCAUACGUGCAGCUUGUGGUGCUUGGCAUACAGUUGCCAUAGUUGAGGUUGUAGAUUCUCCCAGUUUCGGUACAUCUUCUAAACUAUUCACAUGGGGAGAUGGGAAUAAAGGUCAACUUGGACAUGCUGACAGAGAAACAAGGCUCAUCCCAACCAAUGUGGGAUCACUUUCCAAUCCCAGAUUUUGCCAGGUAGCUUGUGGGUAUGACAUUACCGUUGCUUUAUCAACUUCUGGGGAAGUUUACACAAUGGGCAGUAAUGCUUUUGGACAACUUGGAAAUCCAAUAACCAAUGGGAAACUCCACACUCUUGUUGAAGGGAGCAUCUCCAGUAGUUCUGUUGAAGAAAUAGCCUGUGGUUCUCAUCAUGUUGCUGUUCUAACUUCUAAAGCUGAAGUUUAUACUUGGGGCAAGGGUGCAAAUGGUCGUUUAGGGCAUGGCAAUAAUUUUGAUAGGAAUACCCCAACUCUUGUUGAAGCUUUGAAAGAUAAGCAAGUCAAGAGUGUGGUAUGUGGUAUAGAUUUCACUGUUGUUGUAUGUCUCCACAAGUGCACAUCUGGUUUAGAUCAGUCAAUAUGCUCGGGCUGUCAUUUACAAUUUGGUUUUAGAAGAAUGAGACAUAAGAUAUAACUGUGGCUUUAGUAUAUUGCAAAUAAUGCAGUAAUAGAAAAUCAAUGAAAGCUUCUUUGGCUCCAAAUUCGCAAAAUCCAUAUCUGGUAUGUGAUGAGUGCUACGCCAAACUUAAUACUGCAUGGGAGAGUAAAAAUCUGCAGAGCUCAAAGAAUCUCAAUGGAAAUCCACAUCAAUUGUCCAGUGAAGCAACUGAGAGAGAAAACACAGUAAAGAAUUUGCGAGUGCGACUAUCUAGGCUUUUGACUGUGGAAUCAUUCAAGCCUGAAGGUAAACACUCACGGAGUAACAGUCGGUUUCCUCUUCAUCAUUCUGGAAACUUAAGCCUGAGUGGUAUAAACUUUGUUGGCAAUUCCAAGGAAUUGAUUUCUUCUUUCAAUCCUACCUCAAUGACGUCGCCUUUGUCCUCUGGACCAAAUUCACCACAUCUUACAAAUAGAUUAGCUACAUCUGGCUUAACAUCGCCAAACUCUGCCUGUACAUACGAGUCAAAUAAGAAUCUGCCAGUAACCGAUGUUUCUUAUUUCCAGAAUGCAGUCUCGUGUUUUGUAGAACCUGUGUUAUGAGUUUCUUUCAGUGGAAGCUGGGAGCGAUGAGCUAGCUCCUAUGUUCGGAAAAAAGAAAAACAUUCAUGAGAUCCUCAUUUCUUCUAAAGAUUGAUUUUGUCGUAUGAUGUUGGUUCUUUAAGCAGCAUAAAUGAUCAUUCAGAAAAUUAGAAUUAGACUUCCCAAUCCUUUGCUUUAGAUUUAGGGCCCGUUCGGCAACCCUCCACUCCACAAAAUCUAUGAACUCCGCUCCCAAUUCUCAAAUCCGCGCUCCACAGAUGGAAUGAGGGCGGCUGCUGCAGAGGGGCCACGGCGGCAGAGGGGAAGAUGGCUUCAGGAGCCAGAUUCGGGCCAGAUUGCAGAGUGGCGGCUGCAGGUUCCGGCCAGGACAGACUGCAGAUAACGGAGGUGAGACAGGACUGAUUCCGGCCGGGACGGCUGCCGACGGGCAGGAGGUGUGAGCACAGGGCAAGGGUCCCCACGGUCGCGCUCGCACACGCCCGCUCGCUGCUUCCAGCAGAGGUUCGAAUCUCGCUGAAAGGGGACGGAAAGGAGGAGAAUGUAAUAACCCAAAAUAUUAUGACGUGAGUUAAAGACCUUGGUGGUCACAAUGUCAUAUCAUCUCAUGCAGAUCUUGCAUUAGUUGCACAAGCAAGCAUCUCCAAUUCUACAACUUGAGAAAAACGCUGAAUUUGAACUUCUUUCAACCUUGCACAAAAAAAAUAUUUUUAAAACCUACUUUUAUAUUUUACUGGGGUCUCUGAUAGUAUACAUGAGUCCCUUAAAAAGUUUCAUAAUUUUCUGAACCUGUUUGGUACUUUAAUUGAGUGUUUUUCCUUUAUUUUCAUGAAUGGACAGAACUGAAAAUUAUUCAUGAUCUGAAGCUAACUUUAUCAAAACCUUGUGAAAACUUAUAUCAGGGUCUUAUAUACCCAUAUUUACCCCCACAUAAAUUUUCAUAAAAUUACGACUUGUAUUUCAACUACCUACAGUUCAAACCUAUAUUUGGACCAUAUUCAAAUUUGACUUUCAAAAACAUUCAAAAACAUUUUAUAAAGAUCUGAGAAAAUUCAAAGUGGUUAGUAUUGGCCUGUAUAUGGUCUGUGAAGUUUUGUAGAUUUUUCGGACACAGUUUAGAUCCCCAAACAGACCAAAUAGAGGUUCAGCUAGAACAAAAGGCUUUUUCUCUUUGUCUCCCUGACGAGAGGGGCCCAACUGCCAGACCUUUCUUCUCCACGAAGCAGACCACGCGUCGAGCAGGUUCUGUGCACUGCGAGUGACACCCUUCUCCGUUUCUUCCUCUGUUUGGCUCAGCCGUCUUCGCAGAAGACGUGGGCGACAUGCAGUAGUGCUACGCGUCCAAAACCGGUGCUACACGUGUCCUCCUCCUUACGAACCGACCUUCGAAAUCCUCCGUCUGGCUUCCUUAUAUUGACCCAGACGAUCUCCCUUCUCCCCUUUUCUCCGUUCUGCGUCUACAGAAGAGCUUUCUUAGACAGGCCCUCACUCUCUGUCAAAUCUGAGAAGGUUUCCUCGAGUAGUUCGCCGGGAACGCGGGCGACGUCCAAGCGUUCGCGGCCGCGCCCGUCGCGGCUCCGGCGGCCUCUUUCUUCUUCCCCUGUGAGUUUCAGUCCGCAAUACCUUGUCCAUAGAGUUCGAAUCGUGGUCCCGAGUUCAGGCCUCUGUUCCCCGUUCUAUUUGGCGCAGAUUCGUGAAGCCGAGGUCGUCAUCUUCCCCAACCCCGACAAGAACUCCGGCGAGCCUCCAUUCCACCGAUUCCGGACACCAUUGCUCCAGCUGACCAAUGCAAGAGUUUCAGGGUGAGCUUCUGAGGCAUAGACUCUCCUUUUCCCUCUCUCUCUCCCGCGCUGUAGAUUCCCCACCGCGUCGGCCUGUCCCGGCUGUCGCCGGCGAGCAGCGCGACACCUGCUGUGGCACCCAUGGUGUCCACUCCGUGCACCAAUGGUCUCGACGCACUGCUGCGGUGCUAACCCCCCCUAGUUCCCAGGGCUCCGGCUCCCGGAACCGCCGUUCCGGCGAGACCUCGCUGUAGUCCAGCCGCACGGGCUCUCGUUCAGCCAUCCACUGCACUGCACAGAGUGUUCAGUUUAAUCAGAGAAUUCCAUAAAUUAGUUUAGAACUGCUAAAACUUGCAAAAAUCGUAGGGAAGUCAUCGUAACUCCAAAUUGAAUGAAAUUUUUAUGGAAAUGUAGGUUUUUGAGUGUGUGAUUUUAUGAAAUUAUUCUCAUUAGCAUAUCUGUCCAGUAAAUGAUCGAAUUAUUGCCAUGGCUAAAUGCGACUAAAAUUUGACAUGCAACACUUAAAAAUUCACAUCUUGCAUUCUAGGACUCCAAAUGAAUUGAUUCCAGUUGACUUAGUUUUGUAUUUCAAUGCCUCACAUUCCAGAAUGCAUUUCAUAUCAUGGCAUCAUGUUUGAGUUCCUGGUUAUUGAUUUUUCUCUUUCAUUGUUGUUUUCAGGUUUUUCUUGCCUCUUAUCGGUAGAAUCCGGCAACGAGGGUUAUUCGGAAGGUGAUAAGCAGCAGUACCAGGAGCUUGAACAGCAAGGCAAGCAUCAGCUUGUUGAAUCUUUGAUCCCUCAUUUAAUUAUGUUAUUCUUACUUGCUUUCGAUUAUUGCUAUCGUUAUGUCCAUCAUGUCGAUAUCUCAUAAUUUCAUUCUCGCAAAUGAUAUGUUGGGAUUACUAGCAUGUGUAGGAGUUGCUUGCUGUUCAUGACCAGAAGGUUAUGACAUUAAUUUUGACUAAUGAACUAUGGAACCUAAUAAGUGAGAUGUGAGAGCCGAUACCAACAGAUGGUCGCAGGGUGAGGCUAUAUCCCCGUCGAUACCGGUGUCGUUGGAUCUUUCCCUUCACCCCACGGGGAGUGUUACGAAGGCAUGGGAGACAUGGUCGGGCCCGAUCCUCUGAGCUUCCCACCCAACGUAACAUUUCCGUUCGAAUUGGGUGGUUAGCCCAAUCCUGACAAGUGAUAACAUGAACCUUCAGGUGUGGUGACCUAAGGUUGAAUGGAAAUAUCAAGUGGGAAGCUUGAUUUAAAGUGGUUUCAUGUGAUUGUUUUCACUAGUGUGACAUCUUGGUAUAUGUUACCAUGUUGAUGACAUGAUCUUUGUUAAUUGAGAUACACAUGAGUAAGUCUUGCGAGUACGAAAGUACUCAUUGGGAAUUCCAUUCCUCAUAUUGAUGCAGGUGAGCCUAGCAUAGGCGAGUUCUUCGAUGUUAAGCGUGACGUCUAGUUUGCUGGGUUCCUUUGGUCAGCUUGCCCUGCGAGUUAUGUGGCUUUUGUGAUAUGGCGGUGGUAACCAUCUCAAGGGUUUUACUUAUGUUUCCGCUGCUGUUGGUGUUGGCUUUUAGGCCACUGGAUGUAUCUACUAUCUAGCUUCUCUUGUAUGAGAUGUGAACUAUGUAUUUGUAACUCCCUUUUGUAGUGUUCGUGUUGUGAUACCAUAUUUGUUUAAGCACGUCAUGCACAAUGUGUGUAUGAUCCUGGAGUGCAUGACGUGUGUUUGAGUAUUUGGAUUUCUCUUGUAUGUGCAAGAAAGGGUGUUGAGCAAAGUCGGAACUGCUAGUUAUCGCCUCCACUUGUGGUAUUCUUAUACCGGGUGUAUGGUCGGGUCCCAGGGCAGUGGCUUGUUCAAAGACUCAUCUUGUACCUACAAUAGAAGGUCAUUCCCUCGAACAAAAGGACAUGGGACUUAUUUCAACUCUUGGGAGAUUGCAACCCCUUACUUUGGUCUACUUCAACUGUGAGUCGUAGUUGCGUAUGUAGAGUUGGGUAAGUGAAAGUCACGAACCGUUACGGGUUUGGCUUGGGCUUAACGACCGUUGUGAGCACAUACAAGCGGCGUAUCGUAUGGUUAACGGUGUAGGUCACCGAACUCGGUUCAUUGCAUCUCCUUACUUGUUGGUUCAAGUUCCAGGUUGUUGGUUUAAGUUCCAGGCCCUGACAGAGGACUGGCCGGAUGGGGUUGGAAGGGAUUAGUUGUUGGUUUAAGUUCCAGGCCCUGACAGAGAAGGACUGGCCGGAUGAGGUUGGAAGGGAACUGGCUGGCUGGAGAUGGAGGAGAUCUGACCGGAGAUAGUGAGGCGGCGUUGUGGCCGGUGAUGGGGAUGGAGGUGCGCGGUGGGAUAGAAAAAGAUCAAUAAAAAGGUUCAACCCACAUAAUGGCAUUCCCGGGUCAAUAAACGAAACUCCGCGUUUAGUCGUUUGGCGGAGCAUCGAUUUUCCUUCUCCGCAUUUUUGUACUAGGCGUCCAUCCGCUCCGCGGAAUUAAACCGUUCGGCGCAGCUCCGCCCGAUCCGCACGCGGAGUUCGGAGCCGAAGGCCUGCCGAACAGGCUCUUAAUAUAUGCAUUGCUCUAUCUUUACCUUGAAACAAAAAUAUGUCCUGCUUUUAUUAUUAUUCAGUGACCUGGCCUGAUUUAUUCGCGUAGGUGGAUGAGCUCACACAUAAGUCUGAAUCACUUGAAGCUGAACUUGACAAAACAAACAAUCAGUUAAAAGAGGCCAGAACUACUGCUGAUGUGGAGAAUUUGAAGUGCAAAGCAGCAAAAGAAGUUAUCAGCUCCCUUACUACUCAGGUAGGUUUCUAUUUCUUACACUGGCAAUUCUCAAAAUAAUAGGGAUCAAUUUGCCGACCUUUAUAUGGGAACUAUUGUAGCUGGGAAUAUGAAAGGUAGAGUGCAAACAUGUUAGUUGUAUAGUAAUAGGACAGGACAAACUUUAAAGCUCCUUAUCCCAUUGGGCCAAUUGCACCAUUCUCUUGAUAGAUCAUACAUUUGAUCUGAAACGCAUUAUCACUUGAAGUCUUUUAUCAGCUUGUACAAAUUUGCAUCAGGUUUUAUGCCUGCAACAUGAAAUGCUGACCUACUGAAUAUAAAAUUGGGAGCCAGAAAAGAUAAACCUCAUCAUGGAUACAGUUUUGUUUUCAUGUUUAUGAAUGGCAAGUCCUAGCUCGUGUAAUAUGACGAGAAGUGGAAACAGAGGGUAUGACUAAGCUUUGCCCUACGAAUCGAUGCAGAUAAUAUUAACUUCAGCAAAUUUUAUGUCACUAUUGCAAGUUACGCAAUGAUAUCAUGGUUACUUUGACUUAAAAUUAUUUUCUGUUGUCAGAUGAAAAGUAUAACCGAAAGAGCAC
This 45009-nucleotide long non-coding RNA is filed under the name Brachypodium distachyon (stiff brome). Its description in RNAcentral is "long non-coding RNA (BDIS_LNC000866)". The stretch from base 29441 to 29565 matches the Rfam family "MIR1120/MIR1122 microRNA precursor family". The record is from RNAcentral. Lineage: Eukaryota; Viridiplantae; Streptophyta; Magnoliopsida; Poales; Poaceae.